GCAACUGAUCUUGAAGUUCCAAAAUCUGAUACUUUUGCCCUAUAUUUACCAUCCAAAAGUAUGUUACUAGAUUUGAUGUCUCGAUGAUAAAUAGGUGCAGAAGCAGCUGAAUGCAAAUAGAACAAGGCAUUGGCAAUUUCAAUCGCAAUUCGUAAACGCAUUUCCCAUGUCAAUGGUAAUUCUUCAUUUUGGUUAUGAAUGAGAUCGUAUAAUGUACCAUUUGGGAUGAACUCAUACACCAAUAGAGGAACUUCAGCUUCUAAACAACACCCUAAAAGCUUAACCACAUUCCUGUGAUUAAUUUGAGAUAAAAUGAUCACCUCGUUAAUGAACUGUUCAACCUUCUUUUCAUCAAAUUUCUUUCCUUCCACCAUUUUGGAUUUCUUAAUAGCCACAAUGCUUCCAUAUAUUAGCAUUCCUUUAUAAACAGUCCCUUGACCCCCUUGACCAAGAAUUCGGUUCUCAUUAUAAUAAUCCGUCGCCUUUUCCAUCUCUUUUGAAGUAAACAACUUAAUUUUUUCAACAUUACCUUCAUUGCUAGACAAAUGUUGUUGCAGUAACAAACCUCCAUUCCUUUUGAAGUAUUUCUGCUUCAGCAAGAUUUUUUGUUUUCUUUUGAGGGCUUUGUACAUACUCCAUGUUGCGAGUAGUAGAAAUAGUGUCCCAACACUAGUGCUGCAACCUAUAUAGAUAUAAGAAACAUUGUUAAUGGCUAAAAUUGAAAAUUAAAAUACAUGCUUAAAAACCAUGAAAAUGUUUAAUAAUUUUUUACUCAUAGUUGAUAGUGAUUCAUUUUAAAUAAAAAAAUGAGAAAACCUUAUUACAUCAUUCAUUGUUUUGAUAUUUAACUUUUACAAAUUUAAUGAUAAAUAAUUGUUACUACAUCCGCAUUCAAAAGUAAAUAAAUUACUACUUGAAUUAACAUAAUUCAAUAACCAUAAUGAUUCCACUGUAAAAAUAAAAAGUGUAAAUUCACCACGUACCUACAAUAAUACUUUUCAAAUUACGAGUGUUUUGAGUUUCUAUUUUACGCUCGCAACGAAAUCCCGUACUAUUGUAUUCAUAAUGAGGAGGGCAAGAGUCUGACCAACAAUAGUUGGUAGGGGUAUUCAAGCAAAGCAUGUUGCAAUACUUAUAAUUCUCACAUUUCCCAUCUGUCAUUUAUGAAAUGGAAAAAAAAAGAAAAAGAAAAAGAAAAGAAGAAGCUAUAAUCAUAUAAUUCAUUUAUAGUAUUGAAUCAACUUAGUUCCUCUAUUAUUAAAUAGAUCAAUUUAGUCCUUAUACUAUUAAAAAAAUUAAAUAAAUUUAAAUUAUAACAAUGUUAACAUUUACUAUAUAAAAAGCAUCUACAAAACUAUAAAAAAAAUUGACUUUCUUUGAUUCUUUUGAUUCCUUUUUAUGACACAGGGACUAAAUUAAUUCAUUUAAUAGCUUUCUAAUUUCUUUCUCCUUUUGUUGGUUCAAAUUAUGCUUAGGGAGUAUUCUAGCAAUACGUAUGCAAAACCAUUAUUUCAGAAAAAAAAUAAAACAUGAAAAAAAAUUUCAUUAUGGUGCGUUUGUUCAAAUUUCAUUAUACUCAUUUUUUUAGAUUUUACAUAAAAUAUAAAAUGACAAAAAUACUCUCAUAAUAAUAUUUGUUCUUUUAUAAAAGUAAUGGAUUUUCAUAAUUUCUUGAUCGAGUCGAGACUUAAUUGAUGAGUGACACCAACUCAAUUAGUCCUUUGAAAAAUAAUUCAAAUUGAAGGCACAUCCAUGAUGUGAGUGAAAAAAAUUAUGUAAUUAACAUAUUUAUUAAAAGCUUAUAUAAGACAAUGAAUUCUUGGUUGAAAUGAUAAAAUUAAAUUUUAAAAUUUAAUGUGUGAAAGGUUCAAAUCUCACCAUGUUAGGUUUAUUAUGGAUUUUAUAUAAAAAUGUAAAAAGAUGAAAAUACCCUUAAAAUAAUAUAACUUAAUUUGUAUAUAAAAAGAUAUUUUAAUAAAUUUUCGAUUGAGGUAUUAAGUAAGAUAAUAUAGAUAUAAGAAAAGAAGUUCCCUAAAAAAAUGUUAACUUGUACCUUUGCAUGCUCUUGAAUAACUGAUAUCACUGUCUUCCCUCAUGCACGAACAUAGAUGGUUAGAGCUCAACCUCGACCAACAAUAUUCACCAUCGAAUGUACAAGAAGUGUCCAAACUAUCGUUCAAAUAGCACUCUCCAGAUAUUAGAGUGCCCCAUUGCAGUUGAAUUGGGACAUGCAUCCUCUUACUUAGAUCCAAAUCAUCAGUGAAAUCAGAGUUAUAAGAAAUCAAGGAAGCAAAUCCGCAUGACCUUUUCCUCCUAUAAUCACUUGAAUCAACCAUAUCACUCAUGUUUGCAAAGAAUGAACUGAGACCUUUAGGAAUAGUAAGAGGACAACCAACAAUAGAGGAAGUCUUCUUAUUAAUCCUACAACUUGGUUGCAAACAUCCGCCUAUAAGAUUAUCUGUUUCGUUACCGAAAAUAGUAACCAAAUUACCACAACCUGAAGACCAGAAGAGGUUGUCUAAAUCUGAGUAGUAAAAGCGGGUGCCUGUUAGGUUGAGACUCAUCCCAUUGUGAUGGUUUUUUUGACAAUUGAAGUAAGUUACUGGAUGGUUAACCUCGACAGUGCCACGCAAAAAACUGAAGUCUAGUAUUUGUAGAUUCGUGCCAUUUAUAUUCAAUGAAGGCACUUCUUUCCCAUUGGCAGUUUUGCUGCAAAUUACUUGAAACCAGUUAUUGGAAUCAUCUUGGGCCUUCAUGCUAAAAGGGUAGUGAAAAGUAACAUUCCCACAGGACUCUACCUUAGAGGUGUUGAAGUUGAUAGGUCCUAGUCCUGGUCUUCCGCAUCCUGCGAGCUUAGCAAAAGGAAGUAAAUUAUAAAAUCUACUAAAUGUAUAUACAUCCAAUGUUUGUAGGAAAUAAAAGGAAUGUAUCAUUCAAAAAACAAAAAUACACUAACAAAAGUAUUAUAUUGUAGAUACAGAAGCUUAGGUUCUAUAUCAAGUAACCCCAUUCUUUACCUCUAAUCAUCAAAAUAAAUAAAUAUUUAUUAAUAAAAGUCGUAUGAAAAGUGUUACUCUAAGUAAAUUUUUUAAUUAAAUUUGUGUGUUAUUUGUGACACUAAACUCAAUAAAGGAUUUCUUAUUAAUAUAGAUACCAGUAUAAAUCUUACGGUUGAAUUUGAUGUGAUUCAAUAUUUUUAAUUAAAAAUAUUAAUAUUAAUAUACAAAAUGAAUGAUUCUCAAUACUGAUUUUAAACAAUUAGCAAAAUCUAUACAUUAACUGAAUUAAAAGAAGAAAAAUGAAAGCCAAGCAAUUGAAGUGACAGCGCGUGACUGACCUCCGUCACCGCAAUAGGUGGAAUUCCAGCUGAGCAUGGCGGGAACAUGCUUUGUUCCAAUAUUGAUGCCAGUGGGUAAUGGGUAAGCACUACGGAAAGAGUAGUCGGUAAAGAAGAAAGCAGAUGCGCAUUUGUUGCUGUCCGGAUACAUGGCUGUCAUGUUUACAGUAUAGGAAGUGAAAUUUCCCGUAAUUAGAGUAAAGCAGCCAGAUUCAGAAGCACCAUCGUCACACCUUGGUUGAACGCAGCCGCCAAGUGAAUCAGCUUCGUUACUUAAAACAGUAGCCAAAUUUCCGCAACCUACUGACCCGAAAUAAUUUCUGUCACUUGAGAAGAAAAAGGGAGUGCCUGAGAGAUUCACACUCACACUAGCCUCGCUUAUACGAUCACAAUUAAAAUAAGUAACUGGAUUACUGAUGAUAAUGGUGUUAGAAAUCAAACCCACUCCAAGCAUAAUCUAGAAGCAUGAGACGUGGAGCAAUUUUGUGCCAUGCAAAGUGCUGAAAUUUUAGCCAUACAAAGUGCUCCAUUAUUGAGAUGUUUUGUGGCUGGAAAUUAAGUGGAUUAAUAGCCACAUUUGUUGUCACUUUAUCAGCCUAUAAAUAGAGGCUUGAACUUGUGUUGUAAAGGAAGAAAAAUGAGAAGAAAAAAGAAAUAAGAGAAGCAACGUGAGUGAGAGUGAGAAGGUUAGCAAACCUUGAGUGAGUUAAAAUCUAGCAGCAGCUAGACUAUCUAGUCAUUGAGAAAAUAUUUGUAAUCUUCGUAUUGUAAUAUAUUGAGUGUGUAAUAAAAAAGUAAAUUUUCGGCCCAUCACGUUUCCAACAAGUGGCAUCAGAGCUACGGUUCGGAGCUUGGUUCGGAGUUCGGUUCGUGUCCGGUUCGUGUCCAGUUCGGAGUACCUUUGGUGUUCAUCUAACAAGUCGAUAUGGGCGACGUAAUUCAGCUACAAGUUCCACAAUUGACGAAGACAAAUUAUGGAAAUUGGAGCAUUCGAAUGAAGGCUUUGCUCGGUUCGCAAGAUUGUUGGGAGAUCGUUGAAAAAGGAUACAUCGAGCCCGGAGAUGCCGCUACAGAAGCAGCUUUAUCAAAUGACGCUAAGAAGGCGUUACGAGAAGCACGAAAGAAGGAUCAAAAGGCCUUGAAUAGUAUCUUUCAAGGAAUGGAUGAAUCAACCUUCGAGAAAAUAUCAGAUGUGAAGAACGCGAAGAAUGCAUGGGAGAUUUUGCAAAAAUCAUUUCAAGGUGUAGAAAAAGCUAAAAAGGUACGCCUUCAGUCACUUAGAGCUGAAUUUGAAAUGUUAAAAAUGAAGAGCUCCGAGAAUAUCGAUGACUAUGCCAAUCGUGUAAAAUCGGUGGUAAAUGAAAUGAAACGAAAUGGAGAAAAGCUUGACGAUAGAGGAGAGAAGUGUAUCUUUAUAGGCUAUGACAAAAGAAGUAAGGCCUACAGACUUUAUAAUCCUCUUACUAAGAAAUUGAUUAUCUCAAGAGAUGUCGAGUUCGAUGAAGCGGAUUACUGGAGAUGGAGUGAAGAAGAAAAGAAAGUGGAAGGAUUAUUUUUCAACGAAGACGACAAUAACCAAGAAGAACAAGGCGAUGAUCAAAGUCCUGGUACAACAGCCCCUUCGUCACCAACCAGCAGCAGCGGAAGCAGCAGCUCAGAUGAAGCACCCACAAGAACACGGAGUCUCAACGACAUCUACAAUUCUACGGAACCUGUAGAGACGCAGUUCGAUUAUUCACUAUUCUGUCUAAUGACAGAAUGUGAUCCAGUGACAUACGAAGAAGCAAUUGAAAACAAUAAAUGGAAGAAGGCCAUGGACGAGGAGAUUGCUGCAAUAAGAAGGAAUGACAUGUGGGAGCUAACAAGUCUGCCAGAAGGACAUAGCCCGAUUGGUGUCAAGUGGGUGUACAAGACGAAGACCAACAAAGAAGGAAAAGUAGAGAAAUACAAGGCAAGACUAGUCGCCAAAGGCUACAAGCAAAGACAAGGAGUGGACUAUGAUGAAAUAUUUGCUCCAGUCGCAAGAAUAGACACAAUUAGGCUUCUCAUAGCGGUCGCAGCACAAUACAAAUGGAAAAUCUAUCAGAUGGACGUCAAGUCUGCAUUCCUGAAUGGCUACUUGGAAGAGGAAGUCUACAUAGAACAACCACCUGGAUAUAGCAUACAAGGAAAGGAGGACAAAGUCUACCGAUUGAAGAAAGCUUUGUAUGGAUUGAAGCAAGCCCCAAGAGCAUGGAACACAAGGAUCGACGAGUACUUCCGAAGAAAUGGAUUCAUCAAAAGCCCGCACGAGCACACCCUGUACACAAAGAAGAAUGGAUAUGGAGAUAUCAUGAUCGUAUGCCUAUAUGUGGAUGACAUGAUCUUCACUGGAAACAAUCCAGGUAUGUCUGAUGAUUUCAAGAAAGCUAUGACUAAAGAAUUUGAAAUGACAGAUAUCGGUGAGAUGUCAUACUUUCUUGGAGUCGAGGUGAAACAAAUGCAAGAUGGAAUUUUUGUCUCUCAAAAGAAGUAUGCGGAGCAGAUUUUGAACAAGUUCAAAAUGAAGGAUUGCAAGCCAGUAGUCACGCCAGCUGAUCCAGGGAUGAAGCUAAGUGUUGAUUCGACAAGGGAGUCGAUAAAUCCGACGUUGUUUAAAAGUCUCGUUGGAAGUUUAAGGUAUUUGACAAUCACACGACCAGAUAUUACAUAUGCAGUAGGAUUGGUGAGCAGAUUCAUGGAGAAGCCGAAGCAAGACCACUUAAUUGCCGCAAAAAGAAUUUUGAGAUAUAUCAAAGGUACGAUGAACCAUGGUUUAUUCUAUACCCACUCACAAGAUUCAAAAUUAGUUGGCUACUCAGAUAGCGAUUAUGGGGGAGACUUGGAUGAUCGGAAAAGCACUUUCGGAUAUGCAUUCCACAUCAGUUCCGCAGUUUUUUCAUGGUCGUCAAAGAAGCAACAAACAAUUGCUCUCUCAACAUGUGAAGCAGAGUAUAUGGCCGCAGCAACUUGUACAUGCCAAGCAAUGUGGUUGAAGAAUAUUUUGGGAGAAAUAGGUGUUUCAAAUGAAGGUCCAAUUACCAUCUACGUUGACAACAAAUCCGCUAUAUCACUUGCCAAGAAUCCGGUGUCGCACAGCCGAAGCAAGCACAUCGAUACGAAGUAUCAUUUUAUCCGAGAGCAAGUGAAAAACAAAAACAUGGAGUUGGUCCAUUGCAGGACAGAAGAUCAACUGGCAGAUAUUUUCACAAAGCCGUUGAAAGUGGAGACAUUCAACAAAUUCAAAGAGAAGCUCGGUAUGAAAGUUGGGUUUGAGGGGGAGUGUUAGAAAUCAAACCCACUCCAAGCAUAAUCUAGAAGCAUGAGACGUGGAGCAAUUUUGUGCCAUGCAAAGUGCUGAAAUUUUAGCCAUACAAAGUGCUCCAUUAUUGAGAUGUUUUGUGGCUGGAAAUUAAGUGGAUUAAUAGCCACAUUUGUUGUCACUUUAUCAGCCUAUAAAUAGAGGCUUGAACUUGUGUUGUAAAGGAAGAAAAAUGAGAAGAAAAAAGAAAUAAGAGAAGCAACGUGAGUGAGAGUGAGAAGGUUAGCAAACCUUGAGUGAGUUAAAAUCUAGCAGCAGCUAGACUAUCUAGUCAUUGAGAAAAUAUUUGUAAUCUUCGUAUUGUAAUAUAUUGAGUGUGUAAUAAAAAAGUAAAUUUUCGGCCCAUCACGUUUCCAACAAAUGGCGUCUGAAAAUAUGGAAUCAAGUACCUCCAGAUUGAUGCCAUAUACGUUUAUGAAUGGCUUUUCCCCAUUACGGGUCGAUUUGCAAGUUACUCUAAACCAAGAAUGAGUAUAGCAGCUGCUAUGGAUUCCAAAAGGGGAUGGAAUUGUAAUAUUCCCACAUACUUCUUUACCACAGGCAGGUUCUCGAGAUUCUGCUGCUUGUGAAAUUGGGCAUAACAGGAAGAGGAAGAGGAGUAGGAGGAUGAAGUAAAGCGCUAACUGAAAACCCAUUUGCGUUGUUAUUUUGUUUGAGGGAAAUGAAUGAAGAUUUAGAUUGGGUUAAUGAAGAACUCAUUAAUAGAUUUUGUGGAAAUUAAAUUAAAACAAAGGAGGUAUCAUUAUCAACAACUAUGGACCAUAAGCAGAUUCAUUCCUUUUAUUAUAUAUUAUUCAUACUAACAACAUAGAAAUUUCCAUGAAAAAGUAAGGUCCAUGACAUCCACGGAAGCAACGACAACAAUCUGCCCCUAUAACAAUUGCAAAAAUACCUUGACUCCUCUAGAAAUCCGUCAGUUUGGAAACUGUAACGUUUAUGCUAUAACCAAAUAAACAUUUUAGAAAUAUCUGCUCUCCAAAGUCAUGUUUGUUUAUCUUCAAUUUCGUCCUUAUAUAAACAAAACUCCAACAUAUAGAAAAAGAAAUGAUAGCCCUUGAAAUCCUUAAUAUCCAAACCAUAUUUAUGCAUAAGGAAUUUGCAUAGGAGACGAGAAAAUGGAAUCUGAACUUAAUGGGAAAUUUCGUCACAGUCAAGCUAAAGUUUAACAAUUUAGGAUCUUUUAUCUAUAUGGUGUUCCACUUUUAUGUAUAUUUCCAAGUUUUUCAAUAUGAAGUCGGUUCAACGAAAAGGAAAUUACUUUAAAUUUUUAUAAUUAAUUGGAUUCAAAAAUAUUUUUUAAUAAUUUGGUAUGCGUAUACUUUCACAUAACUUCUUAUGAAUCUCACAUAACACAUUAUAUGUCAAUUUCACAUGAAUUUCGUAAACCAUGUUAAAAUGGAAUAUGUCCACCACCUGCUUAAAUUGAAUUAUUAUAUAACUUAUCCAUUGCUUAGCAAAGGUUGUAUUGCCUACACUUUGGUUCAUCAUGUCCCCACCCGACCCAUUUUAGAUGUUCAUUUUACUAUUUACUUUGAAAAAGAUUAAUAAUCAUCCUAUAUAUUUAUUAAUGUUUUGAAAGAAAAUUCUGUCUAUCCAAUUUAUUGAUGAUGCAUAAAAAUAAUUCCUUAAAAUUUUACUAAUGUAUUUUAAAAAUAAUUCUUUUUGUACAUAUUAUAAAUGUGAAAGGGUACGAAACUCAUGUUUGAAGUCAUGCUAACUCAAUCACUUACUAAAACCAAAUUAAAGCAAUUAAUUUUACAAUAGUGGCCAUAUGGCACUUUUUAAUUUCACUUCUAAUAUUUAAAAGUGAAGUCUUUUCUUUCUACAAGGUGAAGCUAGAAGGUAGGAGAUAGCAUAGAGUGUUAGCCUCUUGCCCAAAAUAAAAGACAUUAUCCCUAAUGAGUGAUAGCAAAGGUGAUUGUGUUGGAUCUUUCAGCAUAAACAAAAGAAAAAUCGAAUGAAGCAAAAAGAAGAAACUGAAAAUGAAAACUCAGCAAGAAAUGUAACUGAAAGUCAUCAUUUUUUUCAUUCAAAUUUGAAUAUAUGAAGGUUACAAAAAAAAUGUUUGACAGUUACCUACUAACUUAACUGCCCUUACUUAAUACAUACUAAAAUGAUGCAAGUUGAUUACAAAAGAAAGCUGGCAUACCAGCUUUUACAUCAGUCAAUCUUUCCUACUAACUUAGCUAACUCAUUACAAAGAUUUGGACUAAGUUCCAUAGGAACAAAACAUUCAAAAAGUAAUUCUAUAACUGAACCAAUUUCAUUUCUUUGCUACAAAACAGUAUAGCAGCUAAACUUAUACAAUUUGCUGCUGCUGGUCUGUUGAUCAAUUUGUUGCUGUUGGUCCUCUGUUGCACUGCAGGCCAUGGGUUUAACACUCCUCCUUGGACUGUAUGCAACAAACACCAAUCUUUUCUUUCAAGACAUUAAAUUGGUUGGCUCCCAAUGGCUUGGUUAAAAUGUCAGCCAAUUGAAUUUCUAAACUGCAAUGGACUAAGCUAACCUCCUUCGAUUGCUCAACUUCUCUAACAAAAUGGAAUUUAAUUUUGAAGUGUUUAGUCUUACCAUGGAAGAUUGGAUUUUUGGCUAUGGCCAUAGCUGAUUGAUUAUCCACCCUGAUUUCAGUAGGCUGAGCUUGACUUUCAUUCAAAUCAUCCAAAAUCUUCCUAAGCCAAAUGGCUUGAUUCACUGCUACUGCAGCUGAGAUAUACUCAGCCUCUGCUGCGGAUUGAGCAACAGUUUGUUGCUUCUUUGAGCUCCAGCUAAAAACACUUGAGCCUAAAGUAAAGAAGUAACCUGAAGUGCUCCUCAUGUCAUCAAUUGACCCUGCCCAAUCACUAUCAGAGUAGCCAACAAGUUUCAGCUCCUUUGUCCUCCAAAACUUCACACCAGCAUCAAUGGUUCCUUUGACAUACCUUAACACCCUUUUUGCUGCCUUUAAAUGAGCCAUGUUACUGCAAUGCAUAAAUAUUGAAAGAAAACUAACAGCAUAGACAAUGUCUGUUCUAGUUGCUGUCAAAUAAAAUAAGCAGCCAAUUAAGCUUCUAUAUGCUUUCUCAUCUACUCGAUCAUGCUCACUGGUACUUGACAACUUCUCCCCUAAUGCAACAGGUGUAGUAACUGGUUUGCAUUUCAGCAUGCAAAAUUUCUCCAGCACCUUGGAAGCAAAUGUCUGCUGACUUAUAAAAAUACCAUCACUUCCUUGUUUUAUUUCCUUGCCAAGAAAAUAGGUCAUCAUACCAAGAUUAGUCAUUUCAAAGACUUCUUGCAUCUGUUUCUUGAAGUCUUCUAUAAGUUCAUCUUUGCAGGCAAUGACCAGCAGAUCGUCAACAUACAAGGAAACAAUUAAUAAGGUUUCCUUCUGAUCCUUCUUAACAUAGAGUGUAGGCUUACUGACACUCUUAGUGAAUCCGAGCCUAGCUAAGUAGCCAUCAAUCCUUUCAUACCAGCCCUUGGAGCCUAUUUUAGGCCAUAUAAGGCCUUUUCAACUUGUAGACUUUCUGUUCUUCACCAGAGACCUUAAAACCCUCAGGUUGCUCUAUGAAAAUUGCUUCAUUAAGAAAGCCAUUUAGAAAGGCUGACUUAACAUCUAAAUGAUGCACCUUCUAGUGCUUUUGAGCUGCCAAAGCAAGCAGCAAUUUGAUAGUAUCCAGCCUUGCAACAGGUGCAAAGGUUUCAGAAAAAUCAACCCUUUGCUGCUGACUAUACCAUUUAACAACCAGCCUGGCUUUAUGUCUGUUCAGAGAGCCAUCUGCAUUGUUCUUAAUUCUAUAGACCUAUUUCACACCUAUGAUUUUUCUAUUUUCAGGUCUAUUGACAAGCUCCCAAGUGUCAUUCUUCUGAAUCAUUCUAAACUCAGCUUCACUAGCAUCUUGCCAGCAUCUUUCUCUUGCAGCUUCAUCAAAGCAUGAAGGCUCUACCAGAGUUACUGCAUAUCUUUCAUAGAUGUUUGCUAGUGUCCUGGUGCCUCGAACAGGUUCAUCAUUAUAGCCAUCUUCAGUUAUUGCUUCAUUUUUAGCUUGCUGCAAAUCAACAUCAAUCUGAUCUGCCUCAGGCAAAUUUGCUUCAAUUCCAUCCCAUUUCCAGCUACUUCCUUCACUGAAUUUUACAUCCCUGCUCACUAUAAUCUUCUUGGUCAGUGGAUCAAAAACUCUAUAUCCCUUCUUUACACUACUGUAACCAAUAAACACCCCUGGCAUGGACCUCCUAUCCAACUUAGUUCUUUUCUCCUCAGGUAUCAACACAUAACAUAGGCAACCAAACACCUACAAGUGUGAGACAGAUGGUUUCUGCCCAAACUAGGCUUCAAAGGGAGUUUUACCCUUAACUGCACUAGUUGGUAGCCUAUUCAAUAGAUAAACAGCUGUAUUCACAGCUUCAGCCCAAAAAACAUUAGGCAUUUUAGCCUCGAACAAUAGACACCUAGCCAUGUCAAGGACAGUUCUAUUUUUUCUUUCACAGACACCAUUUUGCUGUGGUGUGUCCACAGUAGUCAACUGGUGUUGGAUUCCAACAUCAUCACACAAUUUUUGAAACUUCUGAGAUACAUACUCAGAUCCAUUGUCAGACCUUAAGCAUUUUAGUUUACAAUUUGCUUGGUUUUCAACCAAGGCUUUAAAUUUGCAGAAAGAAUCAUAAACAUCUGACUUAUGCUUUAAAAAAUUCACCCAACAGAACCUUGAAUGAUCAUCAAUGAAGAGUACAAAGUACCUGCUGCCAUUUAAAUAGGUAGUCUUCAUAGGUCCACAGAUGUCUGUAAGAACUAGCUGAAGCUUUUCUUGUGCUCUCCAUGCCUUGUUGACUGGAAAGGGUAAUCUGGUCUAUUUGCCUAGCUGACGGAUCUCACACACAACAUCUUUUGGCUCAAUUUUAGACAUGUCACUGACCAAAUCCAUCUUAUGCAUCAUACUUAGUGAAUUGUAGUUCACAUGCCCCAUCCACCUGUGCCACAAGUCUGUCUCAUCAGACUGAGAUGCAUAUGCCUUAGCCUGAAGCUGAUUUACAUCUACUAUGAAGGGUCUGUCUUGCAUAGCCACUGUGGUUAACACUUCUCCAGCAACAUUUUUAAUCAAAUAGUUUCUGCCUUCAAAAAUAAGGGAGUAGCCCUUCUCCAACAGCUGGCCAACACUUAGCAAGUUUUGGUCAAUGUCAGGUACAUAGAGAACCUCUGAAAUGGUUUUAAUACCUAAAUUAGUGCUUAUCAAAGCCUUGUCUUUCCCUUUUGCCUCCAGCAGCUCUCCAUUGCCAAUUCUGACUUUGAACUUGAAAGUGGUGUCAAGCUCCUUAAAUAUGCUCUUCUCAGAAGCCAUAUGGUGGGUACAUCCACUGUCAAUUAGCCAACUUUUGCUAACUUUGCUUGAGCUUGCAAAGCAUGAUGCUGAAAAAACAUGCUCUUCUUGUGUUUCAACUUCUUCUACUACAUGAGCUUGGUUUUGAUACUGUGGUUGUGCUUUUGGUUUGUUUUUACAAACUUUUUCAAUGUGGCCAAAUUGCUUGCAGGCUCUACAUUGAAUAUUUGGUCUAUACCAGCAGUAUUUCUCAAGGUGAGUAGUCUUCUUGCAAUGGACACAAGGUGGGAACUUCUUUCUGGCAGGUUCUCUAUUCUUCUUCUCAGUCCAAGGCUUAUUGCCUUUGACAUUCAAGUUUGAACUUGAGCAUUCUCUGCUUCUAGCCUGAAAAGCUCCUUCAUAGUGGUCUUCUUGCCUAUUUGCCCUUCUUUGCUCUUGAGCAUAAAGAGCAUUUAUGAGCUCUGUCAAAGGGAUUGUUGACAAGUCUCUUGAAUCUUCCAGAGAAGAAAUUUUUGCUUCAUACUUCCCUGGCAAGGUUGUUUUGACUUUCUCAACCACUCUUUGAUCACUAAAUUCUUCCCCAAGCAGCCUUAUAUUGUUGACAGUAGCCAUGAUUCUGUCAGCAUACUGCUUGAUGGUUUCUGAGUCCUUCAUCUUCAGGUUUUCAAAGUCUCUUCUCAAGUUGAUCAGCUGUUGUUGCCUGGUCUUGUCAGACCCCUGAAACUUCUCCUUGAGUUUGUCUCAGGCCUAUUUUGGAGUGUCACAGGCCAUUAUCAUUGUGAAAAUAACAUCAGAGACUCCACUUUGAAGGCAUGACAUAGCCUUGUAUUUCUUGGCACAGUCUUCACUAUGCUGCCUGAUCUGAGCUAUGGUCGGGUUAGCUUUUAAUGGUGGUGGCUCAGUGUCAUUGAGAACAACAUUCCACAGGUCAUGUGCCUGCAGGUAUGUUCUCAUUUUCACUGCCCAGAUGUUGUAAUUUUCUCCAGCAAAGACCGGUGGAGGAGGUGGUGAAAAACUCAUUUACAGCAACCAAAAAACAACCUCUUCUUCUUUGUUUUAAGCACUGCUUGCCUGUUGACAGUGUACAACCAAGGCCCUUAAAGACUGAAAGCUCUCGAUACCAUUUCUUGGAUCUUUCAGCAUAAACAAAAGAAAAAUCGAAUGAAGCAAAAAGAAGAAACUGAAAAUGAAAACUCAGCAAGAAAUGUAACUGAAAGUCAUCAUUUUUUUCAUUCAAAUUUGAAUAUAUGAAGGUUACAAAAAAAAUGUUUGACAGUUACCUACUAACUUAAUUGCCCUUACUUAAUACAUACUAAAAUAAUGCAAGUUGAUUACAAAAGAAAGCUGGCAUACCAGCUAUUACAUCAGUCAAUCUUUCCUACUAACUUAGCUAACUCAUUACAAAGAUUUGGACUAAGUUCCAUAGGAACAAAACAUUCAAAAAGUAAUUCUAUAACUGAACCAAUUUCAUUUCUUUGCUACAAAACAGUAUAGCAGCUAAACUUAUACAAUUUGCUGUUGCUGGUCUGUUAAUCAAUUUGUUGCUGCUGGUCCUCUGUUGCACUGCAAGCCACGGGUUCAACAGAUUGUUCUUUGAGAAGAAAUUUUCAAGAAUGUCACUCUUGACCCUGUCCGAUGACAAGAGGCUCCACAUUAUUUAUAGCCAUUCAACGUAUAAGGAGAAUUAGGGCGAGUUUGGAUGGGCGGUGCAUUUACUUGCGGUUAGUGUAAAAACAGCGGUGGCGGUGAGAUUAGAUAAUGUAGUGAUACUGUAGCAUGAAACAAAAAGUAAGCUAAACGCACCGCUCCGCUCCCAAUCGCCCAUCCAAACCCACCCUUAGUAUCACAAGUACAAGAAUAAUUUCCAUCACAACUGAACAAAAUACUUCCAAGUCAUAUUCUUUUGUGGAAAGGUAUUCUCAAUAGAAAAGUAUAUCCACGAAAUGAUAGAAAAGGCUUUGGCCACAAUUAAAUCAACACCUUUAAAUAGUUAUACGAAAUUAAAAAUGGAAUCGUCAAUGUCAUGACAUCAUCAUCUUAUAACUUUAUACUCUAAAGAAAAUUUUGUUAAUUAAUUACUACUUUAAUUAUCGAUAAUUUUGCUAAUUAUUUUUAAAUUUGUACUUAAUACACCAGCACCAUGUUUGGCGUGUUUCGUUUCUACGACUUAUGAUUUUCCAAUUAUUUUUGAAUGAAAGUUUUGCUUUCACGAUAAAUUGCAAUUUUGCAUUAAAAUAAUAUUAAAAAAUCCCCCAUCUGUUGCAACAUUGAACAGUGAGAUGGUUGCCUGAGAUUUUCUAUGUAUGAAAAGAAACAAGCAAGAAAUUAGCGAGGCAGGUACUCAAGUAUAUAUCUUUAGCAAGAAAAACUAACAUAGGAAUUCUCCAAUUUGAUCCACUAUUGUGUUUUCUUUUUAUGGGAAGAACAUUAAUCAUUGUGCCCUAGUUACUUCCAUAAAUUUUUGCUUCUUUAAAAAUAAGAAGAAGAAGAAAGAAAGAAAAACAUCAACUUUAGUCCUACAAUGAACUCGUAUAAAUUCGUUAGUCCUGAAACUAUGACUUAAUACAACUGAACCUUUAGAAAAAUAUGGCCUCAUCCUUAACCAUUUCCCUUAUUCUAGGGAUACUGUAGGCUACCAUCCUUCUAAUUUCAUCUGAUACAUCCUCAAUAAUACUCCUAGGAUAUCUGAUUGAUUUAUUCGCUAAUUGAAUACUCAUCCUAGUAUGUUCGGGUUUCCCGAGACCAAGUUGUUUAAACAUCUUGUAGGGCAUCAUAACAUUUAUGCUAGCCCUUAAAUCAGCUAGAACAUUUUCAAUAUUUAAACUACUAAUAAGACAAGGAAUAGUAAAACUCCCUAGGUCUUUAAGUUUGUUGGGUAAUUUAUUUUGGAGAAUGACCGAGCAAAAUGCAUUGAGCUCCACAAUCGAUGAGUCGUCUAAUUUCCUUUAAUUUGUUAACAACUCCUUUAAAAUUUUUAUAUAAUUUGGUAUCUAUGGAAGAGCUUCAACAAAUGGUAAAUUAAUAUGCAAUUUUAUAAUAUCAUGUACAUGAUUAAUAUUAGUGUAUUUAUAUAUUCAUUUAAUUAAAUUGGGCUCAUUGACUCUCAUUAUAUCUCUUCAAAUACACUAUAUGCUUAGAAAUUUCGAAGAAAGAUGAAAACAAUGUUAUGGACAAUUUCAUCGAAAUUAAGCCAAAGUUUUCCAAUUAAGAACCUUUCGUGGAAAAUUUGACAUUUGAAUAAUCAUCACAUACAAUCUUUAUUUAUAAGGUGUUCCACAUUUGCAUAUAAUAUAUUUCCAAUUUGGUCCAAAGAAAAGGGAAGAUAUUUUAAAAGUGCGUAAUUUUGAAUUCAAAGCUUAAUAUAUGUAAUUUAUGCUUAAUCCUUUCAAUAUUUAUGUGUGAAGCAAACUUAUCAAAUAUAAAAACAAUGUCUCUUUCAUAACUACAUGGGAUAGCCUGAUGGUCAAAAGUGUUCACCGCCUCAAGCAUGGUCUAAAUUUGAGCUGUUAUUGUAAUUCAAAAGAAGAAAAAAACAAUGUUUUCAUCAAUUUGCAUAAAGAAAACACUAAGCCAAACCAUUUAGAAAGGAGGGAACGAUGCUCGUGGCCUGAGUUUUAUUCUGGGUGUUUAAAACUCUUAAAUUGUCUUUGAUAAUUUCAUUCGUUUUGGUUUAUUAUUUUUAUACUAAGGUUAGUUUGGGGUAUUUGCACUUAUUUUAAUUUUAUUAAUUUUAAAUAUUAUUUGAUAAAAUUUCCAAUUGUUUUUAUAAAUAUUUUUAAAUAAAAGUAUUCAAUAACUUUUUAAAUACAUAUAAUUUUUAAGUUAUUUACAUUAUUUUUUAUAUCAUACAAAUUAAAUUAAUUUAUAUAAAUUAAAAGGAUAAAUCACUUUUUAACCCUUAAACUUAGUUGCUUUUCUCAAGUUGAUAUCUAAUGUUUUUGGAUCUAAGUUGGUACUUGAACUUAUAUUUUAGGUAACAUUUUCCUCAUUUUUUGUAUCAAUGUUAAAUUAUGUUGACAUACAUUUUAAGAUUUGUGCCAUGUUAUCACUUUAAAUUUUAUUUAAAUUUGAAAAUAUUAAAUAAUAAUAAACAAUUAUUUAAAUAUAAAAAAUAAAACUAUAAAAAUUAUAAACCUUUAUUAAAAAUUAAAAAUAUGAAUAAUUAUAAUAAAUCUAUUUGAAAAUCUUUUUAAUUAUUUUUCUUUUUACUUAGGAUUUUUUAUUCCUUUAUAAUUAGUUAUACAACAAUUAUGAUAAUACUCUAAAAUGACAUACUUUUAUGUGUUAAUUACAUAUAUAUUUUGAGUACGAUCCUACUAAUUUGGGUCAUUUAUGGUUUUUUUAUCUUGUAGGAACUAAAUUGAAGGCAAAAAGAAAUUUGGGAACAAAAAGCGAGAAUUUAAAGACAAAACGAGUCAGUAUGCGAAAUAGGGAAGAAAUUGUGCCGAAAAUACAAAGUGUAGAAGACUUGGGGCAAAAUUUCAAAGAAGAGAUUUAUGAACAUAAGACUUUGUUUAAAUUAAAAUUUUAUUUUUAAGAUUAUUGUUAGGAUUAUUAUAUUGUUUAGAUUUAAUUUCAAAUUAUAUCUCUUAAAUAUUAUCAUCUAAGUUUAAAUAGGAACAAACUGGGUUCUUUCAUGUACUAUAAAUAGGGAAUGGGGUGACAUGAAUAUCCACUCAUCAUUUUUGAAAAAAACUCAUUCUCCCUAAGGCUCCUAGCCUUUUUGUUUCUUUUUCAAUAAAUUCCAUUUCAUUAAAACUAGUGUUUUUUUUUUCCAAAAAGCAUGAAUAACUAAACUCAUCCAGUCAAAGGUUAUCAAGACUCCUCCAAAAGAGUUCAUGAGGCUUAGAACCCGCACUUAGCCCUUCUUAACGAGUGUUCAUCAUUUCUCUGCAUUACAGGACUGACGCUUCCGUCCAUGUCCUUCCAAAAUUAAUCUUUUCAUCUUGUGCAAAGACAACCGCUUUGUAUGUUUUGGGAAGGUUACACAGUCAGUUCACUAACUUACUACGUCAGAGGUAGUCGAGCCCAAGAGAUGAAAUGGUGCGACAUUCAUCAUUGAGAAAUAAUGAUCUAGUGUAAGACAGUCCCACAGAAGUGACGGUUGGCUAGAGUCAGGUUCCACUAGACCGUAAGGCUAUAACCGAAGAGGAGCUAGUGGUCGUAGGCAUCCUCUUCCACUAUAACUUACCUAUUCAGUCAUGAGAAGGAUCACCUAAAAGCCUAUGAUUGAACCAAAGGAGGAUCGAGAUAACUAGAGGCUGGAACCCCUCAAUCGGAAAGCCCAUUUUUCUCAAUUCUACUUCUUAUCACAAUUAUGAUUUCAAUCUGUCAAAACCACUUUUAGAUAAAAGGGAUCGACUUUUAAAAAUAAAAUAACAAAAUAGUAGUCACCGCCGAUCUUUUGUUAAGAUGUGAUCGGAUCACCUUGAAAACGAUUUUGGUCUACGAAAUUUAAAAAAAUAGGUCCGGGAGUCGAUUACUCACAAGGAAGGGUUAGCACCCUCGUAACGCCCAAAAUUGAUACCUAAUUGAUUAAUUAAUGUCUUAAAGUCGAAUGAUAAAAAUCCGAAAAGAUUAAAAAUGAUUCCCCUUUUUAUUAAUGCCAAUUUUUAAAACAACCUUUGAAUAAAUUUGAAAUAGUAUGUAAAAAACUCUCUUGUCUCGAGGCAACAAAAUGUCGUAUCGCAUAAGUUAGGAUGCAAUAUUUGAAUUCUCGAGCAUAAGCUAACCUUUAAAAAUUUAAUUGAAAUCUCAUGUAUUUGAAACCAAAAAAUAUCUAGCCAUUUUGGCUCGAUGAGAAAAUCGAAACCCCGUAAGUUAGGGUACGAUUUUUCGAGGUUCCAAAGAUGACAUAUAAUCUCGCCUUUAUUCUAGAAAAAGAGAAGAUCCUUGUCUCGAGAUAACAAAAUAUCAUAUCCAAUGAGUUAGGAAACAACAAAUUGAAUUCUCGAGAAUAGGUUUUUAUUUGAAAUUUUACGUUUUGAUUUAAAAAGGAAUACUAGGUUUCUUAAAUCUAACAAAGAAAAUUAAAACCCAGUAAGUUAAGGCGCAAUCCUCUUGAGGACCCCAAAUUCCAAGUAUUGUGUUAUUUUUGAAAACCUUUGUAUAAAAUAACUUUGAUACUUAUAUUAAACGUAAUCUUUUGAACGAAUAAAAAACGAUGGAAUAAUAAUUUACAACGCAAAAUGAUGAUUCGUAAAUCAAAAUGUACACUAAUGAAUGACAAACAAUCAAUAAAUAGAAAUAAACAAUACAAUACACAUAAUAGUAAGAAUCUCAUAUCAUAUGUUGGGUGAAUACCAAUAUUAAAAGCUAAAGAAUUAAAAGGAAUAUUAAGCAAAUUAACACAACCAAAGUAUAACAAGUUUUAAAAUAAAAAAUGAAUAAUGAAUAACAUGAAAAAAAAUAUCUAUAUAUAAACAAUAAAUUACAUGCAUACAAUUUCAAAAUAAACAAUAUACGAGUUUGAAAUAGAUCAAAAAUGAAGAUAAAAUGAAUACUAUGUGAAAUGAUAAUAUCCAAAUGAAUUUUAAAGUAAAUAUUGUAUAUAAAAAAACAAAUCAAAAUAUGUAAAAUAAAAAUAAUAAUAUAUAUAUUAAUCUAAACAAAUAAUACAUAUGGAAUGAAAAGUUUAACAAUAACAUAAAUAAUAAUAUAUAACAAUAUAUGUAAAAAGUUGAGAUAGGUAAAAUAUAAUAAAUAGUUUUUUUUUAAAAGAAAUAAAUUAUAUAUAUAUAUGAGAAUGAGAAAAAAAAUGGAAUCAAUAAUGUAUCAUAUAUGUAUGUAUGUAUAAUAUACAUUGUGUAUAUACAUAUAAAAUAUUAUUAUAUAGGAAGAUUAUUGUAUAAAUCAUUAAAACAUAGCAAUAUAGAAGAAAAUUUUAAAGGUAUAUUAUAAAGUAAAACUAUAAGAAAAAAUUGUGUACAAAUAAUAUUGAAUUUAUAUAAAAAUAUAUAAAAUAAUACAUGAUAAAUUUAAAUAAAAAUACAUGAUAAACUUAAAAUAAUGUUAAUAAUAAAUUUAAAAUAAUAAUAUAUUAUAAAUUAAAAUAGUAUUAAUGAUAAAUUUAAAAAUAUAUUAAACUUAAGCAUAAAAAGAAGGUUAGAUUUAAAAAAUAAAUAUAUCUAAAAAAUAACAGAAUAAUGAAUUUUAAACAAAAUAAAAAUCAAGGAUAUUAAAUUAAAUAAGUAUGGAUUAAGUUGUAUUUAAUUCGAAAUUAAAAGAAAAAAAUGAAAAUAAAGCAGAAUUGAGGACCAAAAAGGAACACGCGAUUAACAUGGGGAUUAAAGAGGAAAAUAUUCCAAUCCCCAAAACAUAGCAUUUCAUCAUGGACCAAAAUGAAAUUAACAGGAAAUUAUGUGGCCACAAUUAAAGAAAUAAAAUGGACCAGAUUGAACCACAGCACAAAGGCGAAGGGACCUGGCGCACAAAUAUCCCUCCCAAUACCAAAACGCGCGGAUCUAGUCGCAUUUGGGCCGGGUGAUCGGGUCGCUGGUCAGAACGGUGCCGUUUUAGAACCACUGAAACAAGGUCUAAACGGCACCAUUUCAAUAAUUUGCAUAAAACUAAAAAAACCCUAAAUGUUCCUUUAGCCGCUUUAACACAAAUCAACAAAACCCUCAGCCACUCGGUUGCCUCACCGUUCUCGGUCCCCCCAUCCGAACUCCGAUCGCGAUGGAGUGAACGGGAGUUCAAGGCACUACCACAAAAGGUAAAUCCCCUAUCCCUUAUUCGUUCUCCUUUUUACAUACAUCAAAUAUAAUAAACUGAGAGUCAAAGAAAUUAAAAAUAAUAAUAAUCUAAAAAUGAAAUCAUGAAAUCACCUUUCAAAAACUUUGAUUUUGUAUUCCUUUGUUAAUUCAAUGUUUUUUAAAAUUUGAAGGGAAGAAUACAUGAAUUGGGGGCCCUCAUUUUAUAGCCUGAAAAGCGUUUCUUUUCUUUAUUUUCUCUAAUUUCUUAUUUUUCUGUUAUUUGUUUCUAGUUUGUUCUUUUAUAGGUGCGAGGCCAUACGGUGAUGUGGCGCGGUACGUGGCGUGGCGGAGGUGGCACAGAAGGCGGUGCAUUGUUUGGCUGUUGUUGUGGCGUCUGGACCUAGGCUGUUAGGGUUUAACUGGGUCUAGGAUUGGGUCUGAUGGCUAUGUUGCGCUUGUUAGGGUUUUUAAUUUUAAUUUGGGCUGAUUUUUUUUUUUGGUAAUUGAACUUUAAUUGUAAAUCGACCUUAUUAUUUUGGCUUUAGGCUCUAAUUGGUUUUGGUUUGUAAUGUAAAUGGACUAGACAUUAUUUUAUUUUAUUUAGUUUUAUUUUAAUUUGGUUUUAAUGGGCCCGGGCAAAAUUUGGGUUUUACAACUGCCCCUCUUUGCUUAUUGUCGUGUAACGAGAAUGGAGCAAAGACUUCAAAAAGAUAAAUUUUGCCCAGUCAUGCCGAGUUUUGGCUUCUUGGUACUGCUCCAAUCCACUCUGUCUUGCUGCUUCAAUUCACUCCACUAUAACUUUAUGGAGAUAAGGCUGGUGGCUUUAAUCUGCUCCACUGCAAUGCCAAGGAAAUAAGAUUUGUUGCCUUCAGCUUUAAUCUGUUCUGCUUUAAUCUGUUCCACUUCAGCUUUAAUCUAUUCCACUGCAACGCUAGGAAAAAAAGAUUCACUGCCUUCAGCUUUAAUCUACUACAAUGCCAGAGAAAUAAGAUUAUCUGCCUUCAGCUUUAAGAUGUUCCACUUCAGCUUCAAUCUAUUCCACUACAACACUAAGGAAAUAAGAUUCGCUGCCUUCAGCUUUAAUCUACUGUAACGCCAGGGAAAUAAGAUUCGCUGCGUUCAGCUUUAAUCUAUUCCACUACAACACUAAGGAGAUAAGAUUCGUUGCCUUCAGCUUUAAUCUACUGCAACACCAGGGAAAUAAGAUUCCCUGCCUUCAGCUUUAAUCUGUUCCACUGCAACGGCAAGGAAAUAAGAUUCACUGCCUUCAACUUUAAUCUACUGCAACGCUAGAGAAAUAAGAUUCGCUGCCUUCAGCUUUAAUCUAUUCCACUGCAAUGCUAAGGAAAUAAGAUUCACUGCCUUCAACUUUAAUCUACUGCAAUGCCAGGGAAAUAAGAUUUGUUGUCUUCAGCUUUAAUAUGUUCCACUGCAACGCUAAGGAAAUAAGAUUCGCUGCCUUCAGCUUUAAUCUACUGCAACGCCAAGGAAAUAAGAUUCGUUGCCUUCAGCUUUAAUAUGUUCCACUGCAAUGCCAAGGAAAUAAGAUUCACUGCCUUCAGCUUUAAUCUACUGCAACGCUAGGUAAAUAAGAUUCACUGCUUUCAGCUUUAAUCUGUUCCACUGUAAUGCCAAGGAAAUAAGAUUCACUAUAAUGACUUCAAUCCAUCCCACUGUAACUUCAGCGGUAUAGGAUUUAUGGUUUCACCAAUAUGUUCGCUAGGGAACAUGACCUAUAAAAUCCAUUUCAUGGGCCUAUUCAUGCCUAGUGAUUAGGAUGUAAUGAUUGGAAUGAAAUUAAAAUCUCCUAACUAGAUGUGUAUGAAUGAAUGCAGAAUGCCAUGAAAAUAAUCUCUUAAUGUUUGAGUUGUUAUUGCUCAUUGUUUAUUAAGGCUCCAUCAUUGACAUGUUCUUGUUCGGCUGGUACCUUCGACAAAAGACCCAGAGAAACACUCAAUCAGUUUGCCCCACUAUAACCUCAAGGUUCAACUGUAUUUCUGGGUCAUGAGUCUUGUGCUAUUGAGACCCGGGUAUAAAAUCUGACACUUUUUCCAUCCUCUCCUACUGCAAUUCAAGAGUAUAGGAUGUGAAUAUUCUUCCACUACUUUGGUCAUUUACACCACUCCUAGGGUGUCGUGAUCAAAUGUUUAUGCACAAAUGUAGAAUUUUCUUCUCCAAGAAAAACCUCUUCUUAUUACUCAGUGGUCAUUGCUUGUUUGCUCAUUGAAGCUUUAUCACCGACAUGAUAUUUUGUUGCUUUGUUCAAUCAAUAUUUUGACAGCAAAAUCCAAAGGGAUAGUCUUAAUUUAGACUUUUCCUUCUCAGAUAUUUCCAACCUUUAACCAGGUACGUUCUAAACAACAGUCCUGUUUCAAGUUCUUGUAUUAUUUAGAAACUUCUAGAGUAAUAUACAAAACUUCCUUUGUGAAAGUAUUAUUAGUCCAUUAAUCAUUAUUGCAAUGUAACAUGCUUGCAAAAGAUUAUAACAAUGGAUAAGAAUAGAAUUGAUUUGGAGCAUAGCUCAAAAUGAAUAAAUUACCAAGGAUAAAGAAGAAUAAAAAAGGGAAUUGAUUGGGAACAUGUAUCUUGAAAAGAAUAAAGUAUUCCAAGAAUAGCAAAUUCAAUAUAAAUAGUAUGAAGACUAGAUGCCCAGAUAUCGCAGCUUGAACUUCUCUGUACCAACCUUCUAAAAAACUGUUUUGAAUUUGACAUGUGUUUAGGAGAUCUACAGUACUUUGUCGAUGUCUCAGAUGUUGCAUACCCCUUUCCUGUUAAUUCAAGUAUAGCAAGAUCAUAGCAUGCCCUAUUUUGAUCAAUAUUUGAGCCGCUCUUUUUAGGUUUUCAAGUCAAAUCCCUUUUGGUCUUAGGAUUCCCUUUGCGGGUUUUCACCUUGGCCUCUCUUUUUUUUUAGGACUCAAAGCACCCAUUGCGGGUUUUCACCUUGGUCCCUUCUCCUUUUUUAGGUGAAGUAUUUCUUGACUCAAUUUGAGAGUACAAGAUUUGACAAGUUUUUACCAUCCAUCUUACUCAAAAUCAUUGCUCCUCCAGAAAAGGCCUUCUUUACAACAUAAGGUCCUUCCUAAUUUGGCAUCCAUUUCCCUCUAAAAUUCUUUUGUAGAGGAAGGAUCCUUUUCCACACCAGGUCCCCCUCAUGGAAUUCCCUGGGAUGAACCUUUGUUAUAGGCUCACAUCAACUGUUUUUGGUACAUCUGACCGUGGUGAAUAGCUUUUAGCCUUUUUCCUUCUAUUAGUUUAACUGAUCAUAUCGAGAUUGGAUCCAUUCUGCUUCAUCCAACUUUAACUCAGCCAAUACCCGGAGAGAAGGAAUUUCAACUUUAAUAGGUAAAAUUGCCUCCAUCCCGUAAACCAGAGAGAAAGGCGUUACCCCGGUGGAAGUCCUGAUUGAUAUUCAAUAAGCAAAGAGGGAAAAUGGUAAUUUCUCAUGCCAGUCUUUGUAAGUUUUAGUCAUUUUCUCCACAAUCUUCUUAAUAUUCUUAUUAGCUGCCUCUACCACACCAUUCAUUUUUGGGCGAUACAGUGACAAAUUAUGGUGUCUGAUUUUGAAUUGAUUACAGACCUUAGCUAUCGUGCUGUUGUUCAGAUUCAACGCAUUGCCCGAUAUAAUCCUUUCUGGCAUUUUAUACCAGCAUAUGAUCUUUUUUUUCGAGAAUUUGCUAACUUCUAACUUGGUGACAUUGGCGUAUAAAGUAGCUUCUAUCCGUUUGGUGAAAUAAUUAAUGACCUCAAAAAUAGAGCGAUGCCCAUUAGAAUCCUUCGAUGAUAUCCAUGCCCCACUGUACUCAAAAUUUGAGUUGCCCUUUUCGGGUUUUCAACUCAAACUCCUUUGGUCUUAAAGUACCCUUUGCGGGUUUUUGCUUUGGCCUCUCCUUUUUCUUUUCUUUGUCUUUUUUCUUUUCUUUUUCUUUUCUUUUUUCAUCUUUUUUUUAAAUGUUUUUUUAUUGGAUCUGAACUCAUAGGAUUAGGCAAGUCCUUGUUAUCCCUUUCAAUCAGAACCAAUGUUUUUCUAGAUAAAGUCUUCCACACAAGAUCCUUCCCAUAUUAACAUCCACUUUCAUAUGAAAUCCUUUUGUAUGUGAAGGAUCUUCUUUGAUAUCAGGUUUCUUUCAUAGAACUUUUUGGGGCGAAAUUAUUUUUGGCACAUUUGAUUAUGACGAAAAACUUUGGAUCUUGCUCUUCAAUCGGGAUAACAUCCAAACAAAAACUCGAAGAGAUGGAAACUCGACUUCAAUGGGAAAAGUUGUGAUAAGCCAAAGAGAAAGGCGUUGCCUCGGUAGAGAUUUUUUACUGAAUCGUUCAUGAUGUUAAUCUUGAACAUACUGUAAAUUUUUGAUAUCAUGCUGUUGUUCAAAAUUAAUGCAUUGUCAGAUUAUAAUGUUAGUGCUUAACCCGGGCAUAUCUUGGUAUGAUCAUGCGAAGACAUCUUUAAACUCUUGAAGUAGCUCAACAAGGUCUUGCCUCAUUUCUUUGAUUAUGCAUGUUCUAAUUUUUACUACUUUUCCCUCCUCCAAGGUCACAAUCUCCAUGAGGUAAAAUCUGUUUCUCUUCCUAUUCUACCAUCCUCAACAAGUCCGGAGAUAAGCCACAGUUUAUGUCAUCUUCAAAGUCAUGAGAUCCCUCUAAACAUAUGUCUUAUUUAAAAGGAAAUUUUGAGUUUGUAGCAGCGUCACUCAUGUUCUUGAUAUCCAGGGACCUAUUAUAGGUACCGAAUAAUAUACAAAGAAUGUAUGAUUUUAAGAAUAAUUAUCUGUACAGUAUAUUUACGAAUAAAAUGAAAGAAUAAUUUGGAAAAAAUCCAAAAAGAAUGAAAGAAUAUUUGCUCAAAAUGCAUGUAGAGAUGUAUUUCAUUAAAAUAAUGACGUUCAGACAUGAGCCUAUUUCACAAAGGAGUUCUUAUUGCCUCUAGGCUAAAAGAAACAAGUAUGUUCUAAACAUUACUCUGAGUAAGCUCUAAAAACUACAGAGAUUUCUUCCGCAGUUCAAUUGUUUAACACACUUCCCGAUUCAUAAGGGCGGAUAUCUAACAAGGUCCCUCCUUCAGUUGCUUCUUCGUAUAUAAUAUUGAUGUAAAUGUUUCUCAACAAUUCUUUAAUACUUUCUUCUCUUGGCAUUCUUUACUUUGGAUAAAUAAUCCCUCCCGAUACAAAAGUUUUCGAUAUAUGGGGGAAGUCAUAAGCUUCCAUUCGACCUCAUCCUCGCUCAAAUGUACUCUCCUCCUUUCCUAUUUUUUUCUUUAACUCCUUCCUUCUUUAAUUUGUAUCUAUUUUUGAAGUUGUUCAAGUCUUUCUAAUCUUUGGCCCAUGUCGAUGGUUUUUGCUCGGGUACCGAAACGGUAUUUGGUUGGUAAGUUGGUUUCCAGAUUGACUGAGGAAUGAUUUUAAUCAAUUAGGAUCUUUUAAUAGUCUUUAAUACAUAUGAUGUUAUGUAAUGCAUGAAAUGAAUGCAAAAAGGCACCAAUUCUAAUUCAAUUCCAUUUAGAAAACUUUACUAGAAAACAAAUUUAUUUACAUAAAAUUGGCUACAAAUAAGGCUUUGCCCCAAUGCUCAAAGCUUUAAUCUUCCUAAGUAAUGAAGCUAGUUCUUGCCCCCGAUCUGAUUCAAGUUCGUACUUCACACUCAGCGUAUCGGCUUGUAUUGCCAAAGUCUACAAGUGAUCAGCUACCUCUCGAAUCUGAACCACGGCUUCUCCCAUAAUGUAAUCCUUGUUACUAACUUGGUUCUGAAAAUAGUGAUGCUGUUCAUUCUGACACUCUUCACUUGCUUCAAGGAAUUCAAUCCUACUUUCACAAUUUUGUAGUGCCAUCUCUAAUUCUUCUCUUCUUCUUUUCAUCUCUUCAAUCUUGCUUAAGCUCCUCUCAGCUCCCUUGCAGAAUUAUGAUUUCGGUAUUGAUGAAGAGAUCUUUCCAAUUCAACCACUCUAGCCAUUAAUUCCCUUUUUUCAUUUCGACUUUCUGACAGUUUUUUCUCUAGGGUCUCAUUUUGCGUCUGGGCCUCCUGAAAUUUCUUUUCCCAUCUAUUAGCCUUGAUCUUUUCCUCUUGGAUUUCUUGAUGUCACUGUUUUAAAGUUUUCCCCAACCUAGUAGUUCUCAUUGAGAGACGCAACUUAUUAUAGUCUGUCUUCAAGUUAUCUAAAUCUUUCUAAGCCUUAUUCUUCCCUUUUCUUAACUUCUCAGUUUCUAGCUUUUGAAUAUCAAUGUCUAGUCUCAAAUUCAUCUUCUCUUCUUCCAUGUGGUCUAUCUUUUUUUCUAACUCUAAAUUUCUUCUAUCAAAAUCCUGCAUUAUAAUUUCUAGCUCGGAGGGGACAACUCGCAAGAGCUUUUCUAUUGGUUGAUUGUCUCUCUGACUUGGCCCAAGGAUAUUAUCAUUAAUUCUCCUACCCCACCACUCAAUAUAUUCAGGUGUCACCAUCGGUCCUACUACCAAUCUCUUCAUCCGUCGAGUCUGGUUCCAGGCAUUAGACAUCUCUCAAAUCUUCUUCUUGUAACCAUUGCCUUUAUAUGAGAAUUCGCACUAAACUAGUCCUUGGGUUGCGGGUACGAACUGGCUUGACCUAUACUGUCUUAGUACUAGCAAAGGUGCAUAACUAACAACUCCCCAAAUCCUAAGUAGAGGGACCUAGUCGAAAUCACCACAUCUAUAUAAGAUCUCAUCUGGAAGCAUCCAAGGAGCUCUCCAUUCGAUGUUAUUUUCUUGAAGAUUCUGAAGAAUUGCCAUCCAUUUUUCUUCUGAAAUAUCACCCUGAUAUACUUCCCCAGUUUAGCCGAAGCUUAACACAUCGAUUCGCGAUUAUGGUUUUACCUUUCUCGUGGAGAGAAAAGUAAUAAAAACCCAAUGAGUUUCUUUGAUUUUGGGUCUUUAAUAGGUACAAGCUCUAGAAAACUAUGAGCAAAGGUCCUUCAUUGCGGCAACAAUAAUCAAUCAAAUACACCACCAUAAUCCACUAAGAGAACCCACAAAGUUGACCUGGAGCAAUCUCGUACUCUUAGAGCAGAUGGCAGAAAAACGUAUCUAGGGGCAGAUGACACCCAACUUCCAAGAUGUGGAGGGGGAGCAAGAAACUGCCAUCACUGGUGUCGCUAACCUAUACGACCCAUCAAGACCCGAGAAUUCGUAAGCAAAGUUAGAGAUUUGAAUCCCUAUGCACACAAAGCUCGAUGCAUCUCUUCAUCUUUUGUAGUGCAGAUGAAAAGGUUGGCUUCAAUAAGGACCUUGGAAGUGCGCUCUCACGGUGGGCAACAUGGAAUUAACUGGCCAUGAGCUCCUCUCAUUCUCGACAUAUCUUUGAUGUAGAAAGAAGAAAAAAAGAUAGAGGAAAUUUAAAACCUAAGACAAGGAGUUACUGAGAUUUACUUUGAAGAAAAGCUUUGACUGAUUCUAGUAACAAAAAUGCUAAGUUUGUGCAUUUUAGGGUUUCAAAAAAAAUCCCUUUUUAAAGAACCCUCUUCCCCCACGUUUCGACAGUUUAAAUGAUCGAGGGACAUCAAUGGUCAGAUAUAUACAACCGCGAUUCACCUGUACACAUGGCGAAGCUGACACCAGAUUCCAAUAGACACUACGUAUUCUGCAAGCUAUAAUAAACGCAAAGUGAUGGCCCUAAAGAGCGCCACUUUAUAACCCUCCUUAGGCCUAUUAAGGGCAACCAGAUUGUUAUACACCAAUGAUCACCAACCUGAAACCCAUAGAACUGCCAGGGGAGCUCACAAUAUCAGCUCGCACGAGCCAAGGGGAGUUUGCGGUCUCAGUUCAGAUCAUAUCUAAGGAGUUUACAUGUAGGUGGUCGCGAGGUCUGGUAAGCGAGCUAGAAUGCUACAUGUGUCCAUCAGGCUUGAGGCCUAUUCAGAGCGUCAGUCCUAUGAAUAAUGGAGUCAAGUCCAUGAACAAUGGAGUCAAAUCAUAAACAGUAAUAGUAUGUAUAAAUACUCGAUUGUCCCCUUCAGUGGGACACAACACAGGAUUACUCAACAAAUAGUAUUGAGAAAUAAGGAUAAUUUAUGUUCAUCCCUUCAAAACUUUUAAAUAUUUUAAAUUAUAUUGUAAAAUAGAAAGCUUGAUAUUAUAGAUCAAGUAAAAUUAUUUUCAAAAACUCAUUAGAUAAUAUUAAUUCAAUUCUACCAAUAAGUGAAUGAAAGAAGUGAUACAAGACUUUUUCUUAAGUAUGUAUAUUGAGUUGUAAUAUUAAAGUCAUCAUUGUUGAAACAGGAGCGAAGGCAAAAAAAAAUUUUUGGGGGGACCGAAAUUAAAUUGUAAUUUUUACAAUAGUAAAAAUAUAAUUUUUAAAAAAUUAAAUCAAAAUUUUAUCAAUUUUAGGGGGACAAAGUGUAAUUUUACCUUUACUAAUUUAAAAUAUUAAAGGGCCAAAAUGAAAAAUUUUCUAUUUUAAGAGGGCCCGGGGUCCCUAGUAGCUCCCUAGAUUCACCCCUGAAAGAAUUUUACUCAAAUAUUACUUUUAGCUCAAACAAAAUUUAACUCAAACUAUACAAUAGAUGAAAAUAUUUGUGAUUAAAGUCAACUUUUAUUAAUUUUGUACUUUGUGCUAUAAUCAAUCAAGAGGUAUAUAGGUAGAUUUAUUUAGUUCUUAAGUUGUCGAUAAAGCUAGAAGGGAGGAAUUAGCAAAAGAGUACUGUUAGCCCCUUGCCCAAAAUAAUGGGCAUUAUCCUUAGCGAGUGAUAGCAAAGGUGAUUGCUCUUUACAACUUGAGAAGAAAUUUCCAAGAAUGUCACUUGACCCUUUCUGAUGACAAGAGAUUCCACAUUUUUAUUUAUAGCCAUUCAACAUAUAAGGUGAAUUAGUAUCACAAGUCUAAAAUUUAUUUAUGCUAUCAAUACAUGUGAGUAUUUCUAGAAAUUUGAGUGAAAUAUAUCACAUAAAAACUGAUUUUUAUGUAAUUUUCGUGACAAAACUGGUAUUGAGUUCAAUAAAAUAAAAUCUGCGAAUAGAGAAAACACUAGUAAUUUGUCUCAAGUAUUCCUUUUUGGAUCUUGAUUUAACCUGAACAAGAGCAGAUGAAAAUUUUCGUAGAUAAAAGCCGAAGACGAUAUUUUGAAGUAAAGGCUCAACUCAAUUUCCAAGUCAUAGUCUUUUGUGGAAAAGUAUUCUGAGUGGAAAAGUAUCCAGAAAAUGAUAGAAAAGGCUUUGGGCCACAAUUAAAUCAACAUAUGUAAAUUGUUAUACGAAAUUAAAGAUGGAAUCGUCAAUGUCAUGACAUCAACGUCUUAUUACUUUAUACUCUAAAGAAAAUUUUGUUAAUUAAUUACUACUUUAAUUAUCGACAAUAUUGCUAAUUAAUUUUAAGUUUGCACUUAGUACCCCUGCACCAUGUUCCGUUUCUACGACUAAUGAUUUUCCAAAGAAAAUUUUGAUUUAAGGAGAAAUUGCAAUUUCGGAUUCAAUUUAUAUAAGAAAAUUUCCUUUCUAAAAAAUUGAGAACACUAAAGCUUAAUCCAAAUUAAUUGCUAAGAAAAAUAGCAGCCAACAUGCAUUUGUUUCAUUGAAAAUUAAAACCAAGGAGGUAUCAUUUUCAAGAAAUAUGGACCAUAAGAAGAUUCUCCUUUUAUUAUAUACUAUUGAUACUAACAACAGAGAAAUUUUCAUAUGGCAACAAUUGCAACAACACCUUGACUGCUAUACAAAUCCAUCAGUUUGGAAACUAUAACGUAUAUGCUACUGCUAGAUAAACAGUUUAGAAAUAUCUGCUAAAGUCUUCUGCUCUACCAAACAUUAAAUGAAACAUGUUUAUCUAGGUAUAAAAGAAACAGUUUCUAAAAAUGACUACGCCAAAAAUGCCCAAACCAUUAUGAGGGUUUGAUUAUUUACAAUAAUCACCUCUUCUUAUUUCAUCUUCAGUGUUAGGGUCAACCUGAUUAGGUAAUAAACAAGUAAAAAUAGCAAAAGAAAUUGAAAAUUUUAACACAUAAAUUCAACAUGAAAAAAUCCGUCCAAAGAAAAUAAAAAACUAUGGGGAAAUAUAAUUUUACUAAAAUUGCAAAAGAACGAAAAGUAUAAAAGAUAGAGAUAGAAAUUAAACCCCGAAAACUCAUUAGAGAUUAGAAUUCAUAACACGUUUAAAGAAUUAUUUGUUUUCGGGUUUUCGAGGUUUAGUUUUUAUAUCUAUCUUUUGUACUCUUCGUUCUUUUGUUAUUAUAGUAAAUUUAACUUUACCUGUAAUUUUUAUCCUCUUGAGUUUUUUUAAAAUUAAAAUUGUGUGUUCAAUUUUUUAAUUUCUUUUACUUGUUCCUUACUUAAUUGGGUUGAUCCCCAACAUUUAGAUAUAAACAGAAGACCAAAAAGAGCUGUGGAUAAUUAGGGUUACUAUUCUUCCGAUUGAUGGUGCCCUUGGAUUUUGUAUCCCUGUUUGGAGGUCUUUUUAAUUAAUGAAUUCAUCGACUUAGCAAUAGAAAAAAAAAACAUAUCCAGAACUUGUGUUAGAAAUACCUUCAAGAGAUAAAAUAACAUUGUGUGAAACAAGUAUGAAUUCUUGGGCAACCACAAGACUCCACCAGUGUGACAAAUACAAAAGCUAAAGGCUAUCAAUCAAGAUAAAUUGUUUCAGGAGUGUUGGAAACUAGGAAGAUGAAUUUAACGGAAAAGUUACACUGUCGGUUGGAAUUCUCCUGGACAUUGAACUACUAGGAUUGGUAUCCCAUGAAUGGAUCAUGUCAUCUGUUUCAGAUUCUUCAUCACCACAGUCUUCAAUAACAGUUCCACCUGAAGCUUUAAUCAACUCCAGCUCCAUUACUACUUGUUUCAUGGUGGGUCUUUUCUUUCCAUUAAGAUUCAAGCAUCUUUUUGCUAGCAGAGCCACAACCAUAAUCUCCUGUUCUGAACCAUCCUUUACUACCAUUGGAUUGAGAAUGCUAAAUAAGGAAUUCUCCUGCAUUGAAUGCAAAAAAUAAGAUACCAAGCUUCUCACUUGUUCUGAUUGGUUUGCGGAGAUGGGUUUCUGUCCUGUUAAAAGCUCAAUAAGUACAACUCUGUUAAGUUUAGUUCCCAUGCAAAGGUGGCCAUGCACGACAUGCAAAGGUGGUCAUGCUUCUGGAAUCGCAGCAGGCAGUGGUGCCAUGGUGUGCAGCAAGCUGAAGCUAUCCAUUUAGUUUCCUUAAUUGAAUGUCUUGUAUUUAGUUAGGAUCAAACUUAGUUGGUAGCUGCAUUUUGAUGUAAUUAGGUGCUGAAUGACAAGUUUAGGUAGAAGCUUUUUGUUUUUCAAUCAAGUUUACCAAGUUCUAGGCAAUUUAGUGGUGUUAGGUAUGUUAUUAGGUGAUUACUUGUUUGUUUUACUUGUUGACUGAUAUAUGUAAUGGCUUAAUGCCUUGUUGGCUUGCUUAAUGAAAGAUAUCAGCUCAUUUUCAUUCAAUCUUUUUCUCUCUUUUUCUGUUUUCACUUGCUAGCUUCAUCUUUCUGUUUUUUCUGCUUCCGAGUUUGCUUCUUCACCAAGCCUCGAGGCUUACUACUCAAGCAAGACUAGAAACAGCUUGCUGCUGUCUCUUGCACCAACAAUUGGUAUCGAGAGCUCUUGUCUUAGUGGACCUGUUGCUUCAAAACAAAGAACUUGAUGGCUUCUUCAGGAUUUUCACCAGCAGCCCCACCAGUCUUCAAUGGAGAAGGCUUUCACAUAUGGCUGGUCAAGAUGAAGACUUACCUACAGGCCUUCGAUCUGUGGGAAGUUGUCAACACAGAUACUGAGCCAGCACCACUGAGGGCUAAUCCCACAGUAGCUCAGAUUAGGCAACAUGCUGAUGAGAGGACCAAAAGGCACAAAGCCAUGUCCUGCAUCCAGAACUGUGUGUCAGAUGUCAUCUUCACCAGAAUUAUGGCCUGUGAGACUCCAAAACAGGCCUGGGAUAAGCUCAAGGAGGAGUUUCAAGGCACUGAGAGAACAAGGCAACAGUAGCUGUUAAACUUGAGAAGGGAUUUCGAGAAUUUGAAGAUGAAGGAAGAAGAAACAGUGAAGCAGUACUCAGAUAGAAUUAUGGCAGUGGUUAACAGCAUAAGGCUCCUAGGUGAGCACUUUGAUGAGGCAAGAAUUGUGGAGAAAGUCCUCUCCACUUUGCCUGAGAGAUAUGAGGCCAAGAUAUCCUCUCUAGAGGACUCAAGAGACCUUGCUAGCAUCUCUUUGACUGAGCUAAUCAACACAUUUUAUGCUCAGGAACAAAGAAGAGCUAGCAGAGCUGAAGAUCACCAAGAAGGUGCAUUUCAAGCCAAGGCCAGAGAAACCUCGAGCACUAAUGCUCAAAGAGGCAAAAGGCCUUGGAAAAACAGGCCUAAGCCUGAUGCUGCAAGGAGCAAUGACCAGCCCUGCAGAUAUUGCAAGAAGCCUGGCCAUCCAGAAGACAGAUGCUGGUUUAGGCCAGAUGCAGUAUGCCAACACUGCAAGAAGAAGGGCCACGUUGAAAGGGUCUACAAAAACAGAAGUAAGCCAAGGCAGAAUCAAUUUCAACAGUCAAAGGUUGAAGCUCGAGUAGCUGAGGACAGUAGUGACCAAGAAGAACAGGUCUUUGCUGUUUCCUGUGUAGCUUCUGAGAAGAAAUGCUCUAAAGGCUGGUUGCUGGACAGUGGUUGCACUAACCACAUGUCACCAGAUGCCUCCUUGUUUAAAACCUUGGACAAAAGUUAUAAAACCAAGGUCAAGGUUGGAAAUGGUCAGUUUAUAAGGGCUGAAGGAAGAGGAGAAGUGCUGAUAUGUACUCCCACAGGCAACAAGAUCAUUCCAAAUGUGCUGUUGGUACCACAGAUUGACAGAAACCUUCUCAGCAUAGCUCAACUGCUCGAGAAAGGUUAUUCUGUUGUGUUCAAGGAUAAACAAUGCCAUAUUACUGAUCCAAGUGGAUCAAGCCUUAUGAUAGUCACAAUGACUGAUAAAUGUUUUGAGGUUCACUGGGCAAAUGACUCAAACUCAGCAUACACAGCCUCUGUUGAAGACUCCAAGCUUUGACAUCAAAGGCUUGGACAUGCCAACUUCAGAUCAAUAGCUCGAUUGGCCAAAGAGGGCUUGGCAGAGAACUUCAUCAGCUCAGUGGAGCAUGAUGAUGUGUGUGAAGUUUGCCAAAUGGGGAAACAGGCAAGACUGCCAUUUCCUACAAAUUCAACCUGGAGAGCUACUGAAAGACUGCAGCUGGUGCACUCUGAUGUAUGUGGCCCGAUGAGGACUGAAUCACUCAGCAAAAACAGGUAUUUCAUCCUCUUUAUUGAUGACCUUACAAGGUUUUGCUGGAUUUUCUUUUUAAAACACAAGUCUGAGGUAGCUCAAGUGUUUGUGAAGUUUAAAAAUGCUGUAGAAACAGAAACAGGUUGCAAGCUGAAAUCGAUAAGGACUGAUAAUGGCACUGAGUACACUUCAGCUCAGUUUCAAGCCAUUUGCAAUGAUGCUGGUAUCAAACAUCAGCUUACAAAUGUCUACACACCUCAGCAGAAUGGGGUAGCUGAAAGAAAGAAUAGAAGUCUGAUGGAUAUGGCCAGAUGUCUGCUGUUUGAGAAGAAACUGCCCAAGACCAUGUGGGCUGAGGCAGUAAACACUGCUGUUUACCUUCAGAACAGGCUUCCUACAAAAGCUCUUGCAUCCGAGACACCUUUCGAGGCUUGGUCUGGUUUCAAGCCUUCCUUAGCACAUCUGAAGGUGUUUGGUUGCCUGUGUUAUGCACAAAUACCAGCAGCAAAGAGAGACAAGCUCUCUAAAAGGGCUCAACCAGGUGUUCUAGUAGGCUACAGCUCAGUCAAGAAGGGCUACAGGGUUCUGGAUCCCUUGAUAAACAAAGUCCAGGUGAGUAGAGAUGUCAUCUUUGAUGAAAAAGCCUGCUGGAAUUGGGAGAAAAAUGAGCCAGAAGCAGUUUCAGAAGACCUAGUGCCUAACCAAGCUGAACUUGAGCAGCUAGGACCUGAAAUGGAUGUUGAUGAUGUGCCUGUGAGAGGCACAAGGCCCCUAGAUGAUAUUUAUGAAAGGGCACAGGUUACAAUAGCAGAACCUAGCAGCUUUGAAGAGGCUGAGGCAGAUGAAGGCUGGAAACUAGCUAUGAUCAAUGAAAUCAACAUGAUUGAAAAGAACCAGACAUGGGAGCUUGUUGAUAAACCUGCUAAAAAGAAGACCAUUGGAGUAAAAUGGGUCUAUCGAGUAAAACAGAAUGCAGAUGGCAGUCUGAACAAGCUAAAAGCCAGGCUUGUUGUCAAAGGAUUUAGCCAAAGGUAUGGUCUGGACUACCUGGAGACAUUUGCACCAGUAGCCAGGCUUGACACAGUUAGAAUGAUAGUUGCCUUGGCUGCUCAACAUCAGUGGACCAUUCAUCAGCUUGAUGUUAAGUCUGCAUUUCUUAAUGGCUUCCUAGAAGAAGAGAUCUACAUCGAGCAGCCUCAAGGAUUUGUGAUCACUGGCAAAGAACACAUGGUGUACAGACUGAAAAAGGCUUUAUAUGGCCUGAAACAAGCUCCUCGAGCCUGGUAUGCUCGAAUUGACUCUUACUUGCUCAGUUUGGAAUUUGAAAGAAGUCCCAGUGAACCAACACUGUAUGUGAAGAAGAACCAAGCUCAAACUCAGCUUAUUCUGUCACUCUAUGUUGAUGAUCUACUGAUAACUGGAGGAGAUGGAAGAAUGCUGGAAGAUUUCAAAAGAAAAAUGAUAGAAAUGUUUGAAAUGUCUGAUUUAGGCAGAAUGAACUACUUCCUUGGAAUGGAAGUGAACCAAACAGAAAAGGGAAUCUUUCUUUGUCAGAGUUCUUUUACUAUGAAGAUCCUGGACAAGUUCUCUAUGAAGAACUGCAAGCCAACAAGCACACCAAUGGCUGUUGGAGUGAAGCUUUCGAGGCAAGGGAGUGGUGAACCAAUUUGUGAGACCAUGUACAAGAGUCUCAUUGGCAGUCUGUUGUAUUUGACUGCCACAAGGCCCGAUAUCAUGUUUGCUGUUAGUAUGCUAUCAAGAUACAUGAAUUGCUGCAAUGAUCAGCACUUUCGAGCAGCUAAAAGAGUGCUGAGAUACAUCAAAGGCACCAUUGGUCAUGGUGUAUUGUUCAAAAGGGCCAAAAACAUGAAGUUAAUAGGCUAUGUUGAUAGUGACUGGGCUGGAUCAAGUGAUGACAUGAGAAGCACAUCCGGAUAUGCUUUCAGUCUUGGCUCAGGUAUGUUUUGCUGGAGUUCUAAGAAACAAAGUCUGGUGGCACAGUCAACAGCAGAAGCUGAAUAUGUUGCUGCUGCAUCUGCUGUGAACCAAGCCAUAUGGCUUAGAAAAAUCUUGACUGAUUUAAACCAAAACCAAAAGGAGGCAAUAGAGAUUUAUUGUGACAACAAAUCUGCUGUUGCAAUUGCAAAAAAUCCCAUUUUUCAUGGCAGAACCAAGCACUUCAAUAUUAAGUUGCAUGUUAUAAGGGAGAUGGAACAAGCUCAUGAAAUCGAGCUGAUUCAUUGCAAUUCAGAAGUCCAAAUUGCUGAUAUCUUCACAAAGGCACUCAAUGUGUCUAAAUUUGUUAAAUUCAAAAGGGAAUUAGGUGUUACUAGCAUGGAAACUAAGGAGGAGUGUUAAGUUUAGUUCCCAUGCAAAGGUGGCCAUGCACGACAUGCAAAGGUGGUCAUGCUUCUGGAAUCGCAGCAGGCAGUGGUGCCAUGGUGUGCAGCAAGCUGAAGCUAUCCAUUUAGUUUCCUUAAUUGAAUGUCUUGUAUUUAGUUAGGAUCAAACUUAGUUGGUAGCUGCAUUUUGAUGUAAUUAGGUGCUGAAUGACAAGUUUAGGUAGAAGCUUUUUGUUUUUCAAUCAAGUUUACCAAGUUCUAGGCAAUUUAGUGGUGUUAGGUAUGUUAUUAGGUGAUUACUUGUUUGUUUUACUUGUUGACUGAUAUAUGUAAUGGCUUAAUGCCUUGUUGGCUUGCUUAAUGAAAGAUAUCAGCUCAUUUUCAUUCAAUCUUUUUCUCUCUUUUUCUGUUUUCACUUGCUAGCUUCAUCUUUCUGUUUUUUCUGCUUCCGAGUUUGCUUCUUCACCAAGCCUCGAGGCUUACUACUCAAGCAAGACUAGAAACAGCUUGCUGCUGUCUCUUGCACCAACAAACUCCAAAGCUAUAAAUGUCACUCUUCUCUGUAAAUUGAUUUGUUCGAAAAUAUUCGGGAUCCAUGUAUCCAAAAGUUCCUUGCACCCGAGUGGUUAAAUGUGUCUGUUCAAGUGCAACUGAUCUUGAAGUUCCAAAAUCUGAUACUUUUGCCCUAUAUUUAUCAUCCAAAAGUAUGUUAUUAGAUUUGAUGUCUCGAUGAUAAAUAGGAGCAGAAGCAGCUGAAUGCAAAUAGAACAAGGCAUUGGCAAUUUCAAUCGCAAUUCGUAAACGCAUUUCCCAUGUCAAUGGUAAUUCUUCAUUUUGGUUAUGAAUGAGAUCGUAUAAUGUACCAUUUGGGAUGAACUCAUACACCAAUAGAGGAACUUCAGCCUCUAAACAACACCCUAAAAGCUUAACCACGUUCCUGUGAUUAAUUUGAGAUAAAAUUAUCACCUCGUUAAUGAACUGUUCAACCUUCUUUUCAUCAAAUUUCUUUCCUUCCACCAUUUUGGAUUUCUUAAUAGCCACAAUGCUUCCAUCUAUUAGCAUUCCUUUAUAAACAGUCCCUUGACCUCCUUGACCAAGGAUUCGGUUUUCAUUAUAAUGAUCCGUCGCCUUUUCCAUCUCUUUUGAAGUAAAUAACUUAAUUUUUUCAACAUUACCUUCAUUGCUAGACAAAUGUUGUUGCAGUAACAAACCUCCAUUCCUUUUGAAGUAUUUCUGCUUCAGCAUGAUUUUUUGUUUUCUUUCGAGGACUUUGUACACACUCCAUGUUGCGAGUAGUAGAAAUAGUGUCCCAAUACUAGUGCUGCAACCUAUAUAGAUAUAAGAAACAUAGAUAAAAGGUAAAUCUGAAAAUUAAAAUCAACAAUGAGAGAACCUUAUCGCACCAUCCAUUGUAUCGAUAUUCAACUCUUACAAAUUUAAUGAUAAAUAAUUGUUACUGCCUCACGCAUUCAAAAGUAAAUAUAACACACCUUGAAUUGACAUAAUCCAAUAACCAUAAUGAUUCCACUUUAAAAACAAAGUGUAAAUCAGCACGUACCUAUAAUAAUACUUGUCAAGUCAUGAGUAUUUUGAGUUUGUUUUUUGCGCUCACAACGAAAUCCCGUACUAUUAUAUUCAUAAUGAUUAGGAGGGCAAGACUCCGACGAGCUAUAGUUGGUAGGGGUAUUCAAACAAAGCAUGCUACAAUACUGAUAAUCCCCACAAUUCCCAUCUGUCAUUUAAGAAUUGAAUAAAAAAGAAAAAAGGUUAUAAUCAUAUUAUUCGGUUAAAGUAUUUGAGAGGUCUUUAUGCUAUAUAGAUCGGAUCAAAUUAGACAUUCUAUUAUUAAACGGAUCAAUUUAGUACUUAUAUUAUUAAAAAUAAUUAAAUAAGUUUAAAUUAUAAAAGAGUUAACCUUUACUGUAUAAAAAAUGUCUUGAUUUUUUUUUCAAAAUCUAUUCUACUUUAAACAAAAUAUUUCAUUUACCGAAUCAUAAAAACUUUAAAAAUAAUUAACUCUACUAAAAAAUAUAUGUUAAUUAUAUUUUAAUUUGGUCUUCUUUGAUUCUUUUUAAUAGUAUAAGGAUUAGAUUAAUUCAUUUAACAGUAGAGGGACUAAUUUGGUCAAAUUCCUAUAAUAGAGAGACUCUUAGAUGCUUCAUCCAUAUAAUGCAAUAGAUAUUAAGUAAUUAAUGCAUGCAGUGUAUACAUUUCUGGCACUAUAGAUGUUUAAGAAUUUUUUGCCAAUAAAAAUAUGCAUAAUUAUAUGCAAAAGUACAUUUUUUUUUAGAGAUUCACUUCAAUUGGUGUAAAAUUAAAUAUAUCAGUAUAAAAUUAAAGUUGUUUUACUCGCUUUCGUAUCUCUUUGUACGGUUAAUAUUUUGACAAUUCAACCGUUGAAUUUAAUAUUUUAUUCAUAUAAACCAUUCAUGUAAAAUUUGAUAUAAAUUAAAAAUUUCUAACUUUUUGUUUAAUAUAAAAAAUAUUCAACUGUUGAAUAUAUCUUAAUAUAUUGAGUAUUGUAGAUCAAUACGAUAGAAAUAUCAAAUCGGUUUAAAAAUUUUUAUGCAUGACAAGUACAAAUAUAACCAUAAAUUCAACAGUUGGAUUAUUAAAAUAUUAAUCGUAUAGGGGGAUACAAAAGGAUGUAAAACAACUUUCAUUUUAUACCGGUGUAAGUGGAUUACUCCCCAUAUUUUUUUUAUACACUUAUAUAUAUAUAUAUCGAAAUUUUACAUACUUCAUUAAAUUUGAUUUUGUAUCUUGAAUCUUGAACUAAUUAAUAUAUUUUAGUCAUGAUAUACCUCAACCAAUAAUAACUAAAUUAUGAUAUACAAACGAUGUAAUUGAAAAAAAAAACUUAUGUAACAAUUUAUUUUUAAAAAUUAUUGAUAUAUAAAAAAAGAGUCGAUUGAAAUGGUAAAGUUAACUAAUAGCUACUAAGGUGUCUUUGUUCAAAUUUUAGUAUACUCAUUUUUUUAGAUUUUAGAUAAAAUAUAAAAUGAUAAAAAUACUCUCAUAAUAAUAUUUGUUCUUUUAUAAAAGUAAUAGAUUUUCAUAAUUUUUCAACUGAGUCCAUACUGAGUUAAUGGGUGACACCAACUCAAAUAGCCCUUUAAAAAAUAAUAUUAAUUUAAGGUACACCCAUAAUGGGAUUGGAAAAAGUUAUGUAAUAGACAUAUUUAUUAAAAGCUUAUAUAAGAAUUAAAUGAAUCAGUUGUUGAAAUGAUAAAUGUUAAAGCUUAAAAUUUUUGAAAAUCUCACAAUCUUAAAUUUAUUAUCGAUUUUAUAUAAAAAUUUAAAAAGAUGUGAAUACCCUUAAUAUAAUGAAAUUUAAUUUGUUAAAUAAAAAAAGAUAAUAUAGAUAUAAAAAAAUUUCCUUAAAAAAAUUAAUUCAUACCUUUGCAUAACGUCGAAUAAAUGCGAAUAUCCCUAUCACACGCACAUAGAUGAGUAGAGCUCAACCUCGACCAGCAAUAUUCACCAUCGGAUGUACAAGAAAUGUUCGAACUAUCAUUCAAAUAGCAUUCUCCAAUUAAUGGUGUGCCCCAUUGCAGCUGUGUUGGGACAUGCGUCCUACUACUUAUAUCAGAAUCUUCUAAAUCAUAGUCAUCAGAAAUCAAGGAAGCAAAUCCGCAUGAUUUUUUCUUCCUAUAAUCACUAGAAUCAACCCUAUUACUCAUGUUUAUGUAGAAUGAACUGAGACCCUGAGGGAAAAAAGCAAGACAACUAGCAACAUGGGAAAUCUUGUUAUUAAUCCUACAACUUGGUUGCAAACAUCCGCCCAAAAGUUUAUCUGGUUCAUUGCCAAAAAUAGUAAUCAAAUUACCGCAACCUGAAGAACAAAAACUGUUGUCAGAAGUUGAGUAGGAAAAGCGGGUGCCAGUUAGGUUGAGACUCAUCCCAUUGUAAUGGUUCUUUCGACAGUUGAAGUAAGUUAUUGGAUGGUUGACCUUGAUGGUGCCGUCCAAAAAAUCAAAGUCCAGUAUUUGUAGAAUCAUGUCAUUUAUGUUUAAGAAAGGAACUUUUCCCCCGUUGGCGGUUUUGUUGCAAAUUACUUCAAACCAAUCGUCAGUUUCAUAAUCUUGGUCCUUCAUUCUAAAGGGGUAGUGAAAAGUAACAUUUCCGCAGUACCAUACCUUGUCGGUGUUGACGUUGAUAGGUCCUAGUCCUGGUCUUCCACAUACUGAGGAUUUAGCAAAAAAAGGAGUAAAUCGUAAAAUCCACUAAAUAUAUGUACAGGUGAGUAAAGCUCGAUUAGAUUUGAAAAUAUAAAAAAAAUUCAAAUUUCGAGUUAAUCAAAUUGAGUUAUUCAAAUUAUUAGAGUCAAUUCAAAUAAGUAAUUUGAGUUUCAAGUUCAAAUCGAGUUGAAUUUUACAAUUAGAAUAAUUCGAAUAACAAAUUGGUGUAUAUAUCCUUUACGCCACUAUUAAGUUUGAAAAUGAGCAAAUUGGCCUCUCUCAACAAAAAUUUUAAAAAAAUUCAAAAUAAUUUUUAAAUUUCAAAAUAUUUAUAAAAAUUCCAAAAUUUAUAUAUUUUAAAAAAUUAUAAGAAAUUCUAAAAAUAUAUAAAGAAAGUUAAAAAAGUAAAAAUUUUCUAGAAUAAUAAUUUUGGGACCUAAAUAAGUUAAUUAAUGAUUCAAGUUUAUCAUACUAAAGUAUUUUUUAUUUUGCUUUGAAAAAAUUUUCAAAUAUAUAUGGUUUCAAAUUUAUGUGCUUUAACAAGGACUUAGUUAUACUGUAACAAUAUUUUAAUUUGACAUGUUUAAUUUUUAAUUUAAAUCAAAAAAUUUCACUCGAUUCGGCUAGACUCAAAUUUCAUUUCACUCGACUUAAUUCGAAAAAUUUUUGAAUUAAGUAAAGAUAAUAAAAUAGGACUUGUCAACUCGAUUAACUCAAAUAUAUAUAUAACCAAUAUGAAUCCAGCGGUGUCCUUGAUCUCCCUAAUUAAGUGAACAAAUUAGUAAACUGCACCUUUCUGCCUCUUUCAAAAGAAUUAAUAGUUUAAUUCCAUUUAAGUCCUCUAACCCUUGAAUAAAUGUAAAAAUCACAUUUUUAACUCCUCUAAAAAAUAAUAAUUUAAUUUAAUUUAAUCUCAUUUAAGCAUUAAUUCAAGUUUUUGGAAUACAAAACUUUUAGUUAUAAAUUUUUGAAAGCCAAAAAUAUUAAUAUACAAAAUGAAUGAUCCUAAAAACUUUUUUUUAGAACUUAUAUGAUUCUAAAGACUGAUUUUAAACAAUUAGCAAAAUCUAUAUAUUAACUGAAUUAAGAGAAGAAGAAUAAAAGCCAAGCAAUUGAAGUGACAGCGCGUGACUGACCUCCGUCAUCGCAAUAGGUGGAAUUCCAGUUGAGCACGGCGGGAACUUGCGUAGUUCCAUUAUUGAUGCCAGUGGGUAAUGGGUAAGCACUACGGAAAGAGUACUUGCUAAAGAUGAAAGCAGAUGCGCAUCUUUUGCUGUCAGGAUACAUGGCUGUCAUGUUGACGGUAUAGGAAGUGAGAUUUGCAGUAAUUUGAGUAAAGCAGCCAGAUUCAGAAGCAUCAUCGUCACACCUUGGCUGAAUGCAGCCGCCAAGUGAAACAGCUUCGUUACUUAAAAUAGUAGCCGAAUUUCCGCAACCUACUGACCCGAAAUAAUUCCUCUUACUUGAGAAGAAAAAUGGAGUGCCUAAGAGAUUGACCCUCCCACUAACCUUGUUUAUACUGUCACAAUUAAUGUAAGUAACCGGAUUGUUGAUGAGAAUGGCGUUUGAAUAUAAGGCUUUUCCAAGUACCUCCAGAUCGAUGCCAUUUACGUUUAUGAAUGGCUUUACCCCAUUGAGGGUUGGGUUGCAAGUCACUCUAAACCAAGGUUCCGUAUAGCAGGUGCUAUGGAUUCCAAAAGGGGAUGGAAUUGUAAUAUUUCCACAUGCUUCUUUACCACAGGCAGGUUCUUGAGAUUCUGCUGCUUGUAAUAUUGGGCACAACAUGAAGAGGAGUAGGAGGAUGAGGUAAAGCGGUAAGUGAAAACCCAUUUGCGUUGUUAUUUUGUUUGAGGGAAAUGAAUGAAGAUUUAGAUAGGGUUACUGUAGAAGUCGGGUUUUAAAGAAACAAAAGCAGGGUUAAGUAGCACCACGAGAUUGUAAAUUAUAUUUGUUAAAGUAGCACCACUACUCUUUUUCUUUUUAAAAUUACCAUCACUACUACAUGUCAAAAUAAAUUAUAAUUUUUUACAUCUAAAUUUAGUAAUAUGAUAAAAAAAUAUCUUUAUUUAUUUAAAAAAAAUUUAAAUUCGUGCUUUUAUAUAUACUACUUGUUUCAAAUUUAUAUAGGGUUCACUUCUAUAAAUAUAUUCAUUUCUACCCCACCACGUCAAUCCAACGAGCCUCUUAUCCAUUCUUAUUCGAUCAUGAAAGAGGUAAGACAAAAUAAAAAUACUCACAUUAAAUUUAGAGAAAAUCAAAUUCGAUUUAAUAACUUCCAUAUCUAAUAUUUUACGGCUAAAUUAUAUUCCUUUCCUGCCCCAAUCAAGAAAUAGGACCAACUAUUGGACAAAUGUGUUACGAAGCAAAAUUUUCUUCCGUCAAUGUGCUGUCUCAUUUUGUAUCCCUACAAUCAUUUCUUGGCAAGUGUAUUAAAAUUACUUUUAAAAUAAAAUUUGAAAGUAAAGGUUCAAAAAAUAUAUAAAAUUUAAUAAUUUCCAACACUUGUAUCAAAUUGUAGAUAUAUUAUAUAAAUUACACUUUAUAAAUGAAUAAACAAAUAAAACUCCGAACAUCACAGAUUUAAUAAUAUACUGCACAUUUCCUAAAAAAAUAAUGUACUCCACAUGUUACAAUGCAUUUAAAUGUGAUAUUUCAAAAUCUGAUACUUCUUUACCACAGGUAGGUUCUUGAGAUUCUGCUGCUUGUAAUAUUGGGCACAAGAGGAAGAGGAGUAGGAGGAUGAAGUAAAGAAAACCCAUUUGCGUUGUUAUUUGGUUUGAGGGAAAUGAAUGAAGAUUUAAAGAAAGAAAGGAUGUUUGAGUGAGAAGCAAAUGAAAAGUAUUUGGUCACACUUUCCUUGAAGUUCCAGUAUAUGUGCAUUUGAUUUGAGAAUAAUUCAUUAAUUUGUAAAGAUUGUUGGAUACAAUUUUCCAGCUGCACGUAAGAGGUCUCCAGUGAAAGAGUAGGUUACGUAUAAAGAGUUAAGAGACAAAUAAAAGGGAGAGUCGAGCCUUAUAUUCCUUCAAAUAUUUUUACAAUAGCAUUAAGAAAUAAGGAUAAUUUAUGUUCCUCCCUCCAAAACUUUUAAAUAUUUCAAAUCAUAUUGUAAAAUAGAAAGCUUGAUAUUAUAGAUUAAAUAAAAUUAUUUUUAAAAUUUUAUUAGUUAAUAUUAAUUUAAUUAUAUUAACAAGUGGAUGAAAGAAGUGAUUAAAAAAAAACUUAAUUUAAAAUGAAUAAUCAAUUUCAAUUAAGUUUAUACAAUCCUAGUUGUCUAUAAAGCUAGAUAACAAAGAGUGAGCAUUAUCCUUAAUGAGUGAUAGCAAAGGUGAUUGUUCUUUACAACAACUUGAAAAAAAAUUCCGAGGAAUGUCACUUUUGACGCUGUUCCUAUGAUUAGAGGUUUCGCAUUUUUAUUUAUAGCCAUUCAACAUAGUUAGUAUCAUAAGUCUAAGAAUUAUUUAUGUUACCGAUAUAUGUGGGUAUUUUUGACAUUUAAGUGAAAAUCUCAAUAAACUCUCAAGUGAAGUUAUAUUUUAUAAUUUUUUCUAUUUUUUAAUAAUCAUUAGUAUUUUAUUUUUUUAUAUUUUUUUUAUAAAUUUAGGUAACUUUUACAUUUUUAAAAAAUAUUUUUAAUAAUUUGACAUGUCACACCAACAUGUUUUCACAUGGUAUUUCAUAUGCCAACUUCUCAUGACUUCGGUAAAUCAUGUAAACAACAUAUAAUAUUCAAAUUAAUCAAGAAUUUUUAUUUUUUACUGAGUUCUUUUUACCAUUUAAUUGUAUAUUAAUAUUUAUUACAUUAUUAAGAAUUGGUUUUUAUGUAAUUUUUCUGACAAAAUUCAAUAAUACAUUAUAUAAGCAUAGAUAUAACUUCAUUAAAAUCUGCGAAGAGUGAAAACGUUAUUAAUUUGUCUUGUAGCGACCUAAAAAUUUUUGGCGUUGGGCGCUAGUCGAAGUAGUUAUUGAAAACUUGAAAACCGAAUCUCGAUUUUAUUUGAAAAAGGGGAGUCGCCACCGAUCUUUUUUCUAGGUGUGAUCGGACACCUAAUAAAUUCUCUUUUUUUUUAAGAAAAAUUUAUUUUUUAAAUUUUUCUUAAAAAGAGGUAAUUUUUUGUCUACGUGAAAAUCCAGAGAAAAUUAGAGUUCGGGAGUCGGUUACGUGCGAGGAAGGUAUUAGCACCCUCGCGACGCCCAAAAUUGGUAUCUCGUUAAAUGCACGUUGUCUUCACUUUCAAAAAUGCGAGUUCAAUUUAAUAUUUAAUCGUGAUCCGAUUAAAACACGAGAAAUUUUUUUUUAAAACACGAGAAUUUUGGAAACACAAAUUUUUAAAAAAACGAAAAUUUAUGAAACACGAGAUUUUUUUUUUGAAAAAACGAAAAUUUUCAAAACACCAAAAUUUUUGAAAACACAAGGAUUUUUGAAAUACGAAAAAUUUGAAAACAAGAAAAUUUUUGAAAUACGAAAAUUUUAGAAACACGAAAAUUUAUAAAAUACGAAAAUUUUUGAAACACAGAAGUUUUUAGAAAACACGAAAAAUUUUUGGGGGGGACCGAAAUUAAAUUGUAAUUUUUACAAUAGUAAAAAUAUAAUUUUUAAAAAAUUAAAUCAAAAUUUUAUCAAUUUUAGGGGGACAAAGUGUAAUUUUACCUUUACUAAUUUAAAAUAUUAAAGGGCCAAAAUGAAAAAUUUUCUAUUUUAAGAGGGCCCGGGGUCCCUAGUAGCUCCCUAGAUUCACCCCUGAAAGAAUUUUACUCAAAUAUUACUUUUAGCUCAAACAAAAUUUAACUCAAACUAUACAAUAGAUGAAAAUAUUUGUGAUUAAAGUCAACUUUUAUUAAUUUUGUACUUUGUGUUAUAAUCAAUCAAGAGGUAUAUAGGUAGAUUUAUUUAGUUCUUAAGUUGUCGAUAAAGCUAGAAGGGAGGAAUUAGCAAAAGAGUGUUAGCCCCUUGCGCAAAAUAAUGGGCAUUAUCCUUAGCGAGUGAUAGCAAAGGUGAUUGUUCUUUACAACUUGAGAAGAAAUUUCCAAGAAUGUCACUCUUGACCCUUUCUGAUGAAAGGGUUAUAAUCGUAUUAUUCGGUUGUUAAAGUAUUUGAGAGGUCUUUAUGCUAUAUAGAUCGGAUCAAAUUAGACAUUCUAUUAUUAAAUGGAUCAAUUUAGUACUUAUAUUAUUAAAAAUAAUCAAAUAAGUUUAAAUUAUAAAAGAGUUAACUUUUACUGUAUAAAAAAUGUCUUGAAUUUUUAUUCAAAAUCUAUUCUAUUUUAAACAAAAUAUUUCAUUUACAAAACCAUAAAAACUUCAAAAAUAAUUAACUCUAUUAAAAAAUAUAUGUUAAUUAUAUUUUAAUUUAGUCUUCUUUAAUUCUUUUUAAUAGUAUAAGGAUUAGAUUAAUUCAUUUAAUAGUAGAGGGACUAAUUUGGUCAAAUUCCUAUAAUAGAGAGACUCUUAGAUGCUUCAUCCAUAUAAUGCAAUAGAUAUUAAGUAAUCAAUGCAGUGUAUACAUUUCUGGCACUAUAUAUGUUUAAGAAUUUUUUACCAAUAAAAAUAUGCAUAAUUAUAUGCAAAUGUACAUAUUUUUUUAGAGAUUCACUUUAAUUGGUGUAAAAUUAAAUACAUCAGUAUAAAAUUAAAGUUGUUUUACUCCCUUUCAUAUCUCUUUGUACAGUUAAUAUUUUGACAAUCCAACCGUUUGAAUUUAAUAUUUUAUUCAUAUAAAUCAUUCAUGUCAAAUUUGAUAUAAAUUAAAAUUUUCUAACUUUUUGUUUAAUGUAAAAAAUAUUCAACCGUUGAAUAUAUAUUAAUAUAUUGAGUAUUGUAGAUCAAUAUGAUAGAAAUAUCAAAUUGGUUUAAAAAUUUACAUGCAUGACAAGUACAAAUAUAACCAUCACUACACCAAAACAGGCUUUUAGUGGCAUCUUUUGUGGCGUUUGGACGACAAACGCCGCUAAAGAUCUAGCAUUAGCGGCGCUCAGAAUAAAAUGCCGCUAAAGAUCUAGCAUUAGCGGCGCAUUAUAUAAAGCGCCACAAAAUAUCUUACCAAAACGCAGCGUACGAUCUUAAGGUAUAUUAGAAUUAGUGGCGCUUACGCAAAAACGCCGCUAAAGCUUAGUAUUAGCAGCGCAUCGUCAAAGUGUUGGAUCGUCGGCACCUCUAUGGCGCAGCGAAAAAUAAUGAUCCGGCGAUCCUAACCAGGGAUCCAUGUGUGAGGAACGAAUCGGAGUGAAAGAGGUUGCGAAAUUACCUAAUGUUUAUUCAGAGUAGACAGCAACACCUAACAACGAGUAGUCUGAUCUGCUGUCGAACCAAACCGCAAUCUAUCGUGAUCCCGGCCUCUACGUAAUCCACCUAGUUGACUACGAAUGGAAGGAAUCCCCAAAACAAUUUUGAGAGUUAUUUUUCUUUGACGGCUGCUAGACUCAAACAAAGAAAAACGGGAUUAUAUAUAUAUCCUUUUGUUUUAGGGUUUUUAAGAAUUAAAUAAAUAUAAUAAUAUUUUAAACCGAAAAUCAUAAUUACAUUAAUUAUAAUAUAAGUUCGGUAAACCAUAUAUUUAUUUGAAUUCUUAUGCUAACCAAAUUCAUGUCCUCACUAUACGUACAACAACCUUGUACAUAAUGUGCUGGAAAUUUGAUUACCGAAUUAAAUUAAUUCUAUAAUUAAUUUAAUUCAAGUGACCCCAAAAACAAUACCAACUAUGGUUUAUUCCGUUCAUUUCAACUAUAGGGUGUGACCCUGUAGGUUCUUGUAACGUUAGCAGUAACACUAGAACGAUUCUAAUGCGACGAACAAUGAGUGGCAUCUAGCAAUGCAUCAUUGCUACCUAAGUCACAAGAGAUCAUGAUUCGACAUAACCUUUUUAUGAUUAACCUUUUAUGCAAUAAUCCUUAAGUCCUUUAUCUCUGGAUUGGACACAAGUCAUGGAAUAGUCACCCUUGCAUUGUCCAUUCCAUGUUCCUUGAUAUCUUAAGCAGACUACGAUAUACAAAUAAGUAUGACAUCUAAUAUCAACUUAUUUGAGCACGGCCAUGCAUUUCUAGUCUCACUUAAUCAAGUGGCCUAAGAUAUUACUCCCAUUAUGUAGGAGGGACUUAUCCUAUAUCGACCAACCAUAUCCCUCUACAUAGAUUGUGGUAUAUCCAACAUCAGUCUUUAUAGAACAACCAGUUACGGUGCACGUUUGACUGUAUCAAAAUAUACAACUUACGAUGUUGGGAUUAUGAUGAUCUCAAGUCUGAGGAUCAUAUAAAUAUUAAUCAUUAUGAGUAAUGUCGUGACAAUUACAUAAUAAUCCAAGAAACAUACUCAUAACGGGUCAGUCCAAUAUGUUGUUCUCUAACACACAUAUUCAUGUAAUGAUUCUAACAUUCCGUAUCAAUGACAACUCUUUAUCAUCAAUCAACUACACGUUAGUCUUAAUGCAUUAUCGUUGUCCUAUCCAACAAUAAUACUUGACUAAGGAACUUUUAAGAAUAAUCAUACUAUUCUCAGGACAUUAUUAUAAAACAGUUUAUUUAUAUACACAGAAAAGAAACUGAAAUAAUAAUGGUAACACCUUAUAUUAAUAAACAUGAUAAAUCAAGUAUGUUAUUACAACCAUCUCAUGAUUGAUCUUUGGGCAUACUCUAACAAAAAGCACCGCAAAAAAGAUGAAGCCAACGACGCCGUUUUCUGAGUUUCUGGGAGUGUAGCGGCGUUUUCUGAAAAUCGUUGCUAAUGCUCUUGACUUUAGCAGCAUUUUUUGAAAAGCGUCGCAAAAAAGCUAAGGCCAACGACGCCGUUUUCUGAGUUUCUGCGCGUGUAGCGGCAUUUUUUGAAAAUCGUCGCUAAUGCUCUUUGCCUUUAGCUACGUUUUCUGAAAAGCGCCGCAAAAAACCUAAAGCCAACGACGCCGUUUUCUUUGUUUUUGGGCCUUUAGCAGCGUUUUUAUAAAAGCGCCGCUAAUGCUCCGGCCUUUAGCGGCGUUUUUGAGGAAGUGCCGCUAAUUGUAAUAAAAAACCAUUCCAAUUAUCUCUUUCUUUGAUAUAUUUUUUUGUUAUAAGAUAUAGAAUAUUUCGUUGUAUUUAUUAUAUAUUGGUCAAAUUUACAUUUAAAUGAAAACAAAUAAUAUUAAUAUGAUAAUAUGCAUGGGACAUGGCUAUAUAUAUAGCUUCCUAAAAUGAUGUGGAGGGGGCACCAAACUCUAAUAAAUUUGUAGUCCAUGCCCCAGUAGAAUAGGUUGAAACAUCUUUUUCUCUGGAUAGUGAUAUGCAAGUGAGAUGCUUAGGGGUUAGGGGUUUAGGGGUUAGACGUUAGGGUUUAAGACUUAAGGUUUAAGGGUUUAGGGGUCGGGUUAGGGUUUAGGGUCUAGAUUAAUUUUUUUAAUUUAUAUUUUAAAUAUAUUCUUAUGUAAUUGUAAAAGAGAUAAUAAUAAAUUUAAUAAACUGAAAUUAUGAGUAUAGUUGAAAUUAUGGCUUAAGAGAUAUAUAAUAUAUGUUAUAUUUAAUUAUUGACAUUCAUACCAUUUGAUAUUAUAAGAAUCUAAAAUAUUUGUUUUGUACUACAGUAAUAUUACGAUUUGGGAUUUUUGGUUUUUGAAUUUGGGGUUUAGUUUUUAAACUUAAGGGUUUGGGGUUUGGGAUUAGGGAUUAGGGUUUUGAGUUUGGGGUUUAGUGUUCGGGGUUAGGGGUUUAGGGGUUUGGGGUUUAAGGAUAAUUUAUGGUAUAAUAUUUGAUAUUGGGGUUUGGUUUAUGGUUGUUUGUAGUUUCUGGGUUACGGGUACAGUGUUACGGCUAACGGGUAACGGGUUAUGAGUUUUAGGGUUUAAAUGUGGAUAUUUUAUAAUAUAAUUCGAAUUAAAUUAAAUUUAAAUUAUCAAUUUAAUAAAUAUAUAUAUAUGAAAAAGGAUUAAAUCCGAGAAGCGUACAUUAAGGAUGGUUUCAUGUUAAAUUGAAUUCAUGAACUUUAAUGUUAAAUUGUAUUCAUGAAAACGACGUUGUUUCUAGUGGAUUUGCAUUAGAAUUAGCGGCGCUAAACAGAAAACGCAGCAAUAGAUGAAAUAAUACCGGCGUUUUUAUGAAAACGCCACAAAAUACUGAAGGAAACGGUGCCGUUUGCUUAUUACAUUUAGUGGCGUUUUACAUAAAAUGCCGCAAGUAUGUUUUCUUUGUUAAGGAAACUGCAUCGUUUUCCAUUGUUAUUAGUGGCGCUACACCCAAGACGCCGCGAAUAUAUUUUAAAAUUUACAGGAGUUUGAGUUAAACGACUGCGUUUGACCUUAUAUUUAGUGGCGCUUGAGUAUAAACGCCGCAAAAAUCCAAAUGGUGUUACGAGAAACGGCGCCGUUUACAUAGUUGCUUUUAGUGGCGCUUCUAAUAAACGCUGCAAAUAUGCAUUAUAACUUAAGGAAACUUCGUCAUUUUCCAUUGUUAUUAGUGGUGCUACACCCAAGAUGCCACAAAUAUAUUUUAAAAUUUACAGGAGUUUGAGUUAAACGACUGCUUUUGACCUUAUAUUUAGUGGCACUUGUGUAUAAACGCCGCAAAUAUCCAAAUGGUAUUACAAGAAACGGCGCCGUUUACAUAGUUGCUUUUAGUGGCGCUUCUCAUAAACGCCGCAAAGAUGCAUUAUAACUUAAGGAAACUGCGUAGUUUUCCAUUGUUAUUAGUGGCGCUUGCUUAAAAUGCCGCAACUUGGUUUUAAUUUUAGUACAAACGAUGUCGUUUUGUAUAUAUUAUUCGUGGCGUUUUUUCUAAAACGCCAAGAGGUUUUGGUUACUUGAUGGGGAAACGACUGCGUUUGGCGAUAUGUUAGUGGCGUUUUUAUAUAAACGCCGCAAAUGGGUUAAAUAUUUUGACGAAAACGGCGUCGUUUUUUUUCCAUCCUUUUGACCGAAACAAAACCAAACCCCGAUUCCCCCCCCCAAACUCUCAUCUCCCCCAAAUCACUAAAAUUUCCCCUAAUCCCUAACAGUUCCCCAAACCCAACGUAGUCCUGUACGGCGCCAUUUGCUUUACUGCAUCACAGCCUCCGUGCGUCUCCGGUACCGCAACCAUCGGUAAGUUCGGCAACUUCCUUUUUCUUCUUCAUGCGUGAAUGUUAUCUGGAAUACCGAUUUUGAACAAAAAAAUCCAUUUCGGUUGUUUCGAUAAUGUCGUGAAUUUGGGGCUUCCGAACAUUUGGUUUUUUUUUUUCAUUUUCAGAAAACGUUAUAGGUUGAGAACUUUAAAUAAAAAAUCAGUUUUAUAUAUCGACAUUUAACCAAAAAAAAAACAAUUCAAGUUACAUUUUAAUCAAAAUUAGAAAUUUCGAAAUCUUUAAAAUAAUGAACCUGAACCACAACACUGUUUUAAAUUGAUAAAUAUUUUGAGAUACCCAAAUGUUUUUGAGACUUUAAUCGAAAAGGUAAAAAAGCAAUGAUGAGUUUGAUAUGAAUUAAAGAAAAAGCAUAUAAUAUAUUUGAAGUCAAAGUUUUCAAUUCCCUGUUCAAACUUAUAAUGUUUGAUUAAUGUAGAAGACAUUAUUAUAAGUCAUGCUUGACUCAUGUAUUUCUUUGUAAUUUUAUUUAUUUAUUAUUUGACAGGGUGAACCACACCUCAUGUUCAUCUUGUUUUCCUUUGUUCAUUUUCAUUUUUAAAAAUCUUCAAAAUGGAAUUAAACCCAAAAGCUGGGGCAUGAUCUGUAAAUGUAUUAGAUAUUCAGAAUCUGAAAAUCAUUUUUAAUUUCAACCAGAAUAUUGUACACAAAAUACAUGCAGAACAUUGGCACAUGUUAUCUGCAUAUGUUACCUUAUUUGAAGGAAUAAACUAAACCCAAUUUGCAAUUCAAGAGGCCAAAAAGCUAAUCUCUAACGUGAAUUCAAUCUCUAAUUAAUUUCUCAAAAUCUGCUUUAUUUAUCUGUCGUCUGCAGUUAAUCUAAUUUAACAUUCUUAUAUGUCGAUGUGGUAUAUAUCUAGAAUAGUCAACAUUGGUUAGCAUUCAGCAAAAGGAUGCCCCGAGGGACUUGACGAAGGGAAUUUUAACUUUGAAUGUGAAUUAGUCAACCAUAUAAAAUAUAUUUUGUUUUCCUAUCGGUCAGGCUCUUGAGUUUUUUCAGUCAUCUUUAGCUAAGAUAUUGUGGAAAACAAGGGAAAUUAAAUAACUUUUAAGUAUGCAGGAAAAGUUUACCACAAUCCUCCUAUUUGUGACCGUCACUACUCACUACAUGAGUUUUAAAAUAACAUUAAUUCCAUGAUUUCUUUGACCAUUUUACCAUAUAUUUUCCGCUACCUCUAUUUCCUUUGUCCUACCGUUCAACAUGUUCUGUUUCUACUCCUUAACAAUGAGUCUCUUUCUCUUUACUCAUCCUCUUCUUUUGGUGCUUCAACUAUUCCUCCCUAUCUUCAUCUUAGGACUCUUUGCCCUUAUUGGAUGAACAUUUGCUGCCUGUGUUUUGGCCGAACAAUUGUUUGGGCAGGUACAUGUUAAAAUUUGACAGUUUUUCCCUUAUUUAUAUGCAUUUUCCCAAAUUACUUAACAAAAUAAAUGUUUCUGACUGCAGUCUCUCUUUGCUGGUGAGAGUGAAGUAGACAAAGUUGAGUGAAAUAUUAAGGUAUGUUUUAGUUCAUAACUUAAAUCAAUAAUAGUUUUAUCAUGAUGAUUUUUGAAAAAUGUUUCUUUUGGGGCUCUGGUUUUGUAUAUAUGUAAUUGGUUUUGGUUGUUUUCCUUUAGCUUAUGUUUCAUUUUACUUAUUUUACAAUUGCCAUGUACUUUUCUGACUUAUGUUUUCUGUUAUCAUCCAUCAACGAUUGCUAUAUAUGUUGAGCAAAAUAGAAGCAAUUUAAUAAAUUGUACUGGGAAUUGGAUUAAAUUUUUUUAUUUUAAAAUUAUUCGAAAUUUCUUAACUAUAUGUUACAUUAAAUAACAAAUUAAUCCACUUUCUUUUCACAUUUAAGUUUCAUUGAUAUCAAAUAUGCUUAAUUGUUGUAUACAUAUUAUUCCAUAUCGCAAGUAAAUUAUUUUGAAAAUAAAGGUUAUUUAUGUCUAAAUAAUAUAAACAUUUGGUUAAAAGCCUGUAUAGUUUGCAAAUAUUUAUAUGUUUUCCUCCAAAAUUUUUUUUCCUUUAGUUGCUAUUUUAAUCACGGAAAUUUAGUUUGUUUUGUUUUCUUUUAUUUAAUUUGAAUCAUGGAAAAAAAUUUCAAACUUUUAAUUUAUUUUUAGGUUUAAUUUUAGAUGACUUACAGAAAUUUAGUUAAAACUUACAUAACAUACAUAAUUUAAUUCAAAGUUAUUUUUUAUUUGUUUUAAAGUUAAAAUUCACAUAACAUACAUAAAUUAAAGUUAAAAUUUCUAAACUUUUGUAAAUGGUAUAACUUACUUAAUACAAAACUUAUAUAAUAUUAAGAUCAAAUUUCAAAACUUGCAAAAUCUUACGAUCAGAUUUCAUAAUUUAUGUAUUUUAUGUAACUUACAUAAUAUAUAACUUACAUAGCUUAAGUAACAGUAAUUUCAGAUCUACUUUCACAACUUACAUAGAUUUUAGCAGGACACUUCAUAACUUAUAUAAUAUUAAGAUAAAAUUUCUAAUUACAUAACUUAUAUAAUAUUACAUAACUUAUAUAAUAUUAAGAUAAAAUUUCGAAUUACAUAAUUUAUAUAAUAUUAAGAUUACUUAUAUAAUAUUAAGAUAAAAUUGAUAAUUACAUAACUCGUUUAAUAUUAAGAUAACUUAUAUAAUAUUAAGAUAAAAUUUCUAAUUACAUAACUCGUUUAAUAUUAAUUUCUAAUUUGUAAGUACACAUCAAUUUCUCAUUUGAUAACUUAUACAAUAUUAAGAUAAAAUUUCGAAUUACAUAACUUAUAUAAUAUUAAGAUUAAUUAUAUAAUAUUAAGAUCAAAUUUCUAAUUACAUAACUCGUUUAAUAUUAAGAUAACUUAUAUAAUAUUAAGAUAAAAUUUCUAAUUACAUAACUCGUUUAAUAUUAAUUUCUAAUUUGUAAGUACACAUCAAUUUCUCAUUUUAGGUAACUUAUACAAUAUUAAGAUAAAAUUUCGAAUUACAUAACUUAUAUAAUAUUAAGAUUACUUAUAUAAUAUUAAGAUCAAAUUUCUAAUUACAUAACUUAUAUAAUAUUAAGAUUACUUAUAUAAUAUUAAGAUAAAAUUUCUAAUUACAUAACUCGAUUAAUAUUAAGAUAACUUAUAUAAUAUUAAGAUAAAAUUUCUAAUUCCGUAACCUAAUAUAUAAAUUACAUAACUUACAUAACUUACAUAAAUUAAAUAACUUACAUAACUUAAAUAACUUACAUAAUACGUAACCUUCCUAACUUACAUUAUUUAGAUAAUACAUAGCCUACAUAACUUACAAAACUUACAUAAAUUAAAUAACUUCCAUAACUUACAUAACUCACAUAAUACACAACUUACAUAACUUACAUAAAACAUAACUUAUUACAUAACUUACAUAAUACAUAAAAAUAUAUCAUAUCAUAAGUUACAUAACUCAUUUAUAGUUAUAUCUGGCAUUUUAACUUACCCGUGCAAAUUAUUGUCAACGUGACUUCAAUAAUUUAGAAAUGGACCGGUCUUGGAUGAAUUUGUCAAGGGUAAGCAACGGCUAUCGAAAUGGAGUACAGACGUUUCUAAAUUUUGCAUUUCAAUACGCAAGCCAAGAGAACAUGAUUCUUUGCCCCUGUAAGAAUUGUGUCAACAUAAACUGGCAUUAUCGUGAGGUUGUAUAUGAGUAUCUAAUUGUUGAUGGGUUUGUUCGGGGUUAUAAACAAUGGUUAUUUCAUGGAGAAUGCCCGCAUAGUACUUCCUCUUCAAUGAUGGAUGUAACUUAUCCUGAUACUGCUUACCAUCAGUCUGAUAGAGGGGAUGACAUGGAAGGGAUGUUGCGGGAUGCAUUUAAUAUGCACAAUCAUGGUGUCCAGUUUUCCUAGCUGACUUGUGGCAUCUGAUGAUUGUAAUCUCGGUGGAAAUGCUUUUACCGAACCGGGAAGAAGUGUUCCUCAUGAAGAGCCGAAUGGAGAAGCGAAAAAGUUCUACGCGCUACUUAAUGACAUGAAUGAAGAACUGUAUGAGGGAUCAAAAUCCUCAAAAAUGUCUUUUUGUAUUCAUCUUUUUCAGUUAAAAUGUUUGGGAGGGUGGACCGGGAACUCUUUGACAAUGCUGUUAGAGUUUUUGAGAGAAAUGUUUCCGUUUGCAAAAAUCCCUCAGUCGUGCAAAGAUAUGAAGAAAAUGAUUAAAGAUUUAGGCCUUGGGUAUAACAAAAUCCAUAGUUGCCCAAAUGACUGCAUGUUGUAUUGGGGCGAUCGGAGAAACCAACAGUGCUGUCAUGUAUACGGCCACUCCCAUUGGAUAAGUAGAAACACAGAAGAUGGGAACGGCGAUGAAAAUGAUGCACAAUCAAGGAAGAAGCCAGUCAAGAUUUUGCGGUAUUUUUCGUUGAUACUAAGGCUUCAAAGGCUUUUCAUGUCGUCAAAGACAGCAGAGUCAAAGACGUGGCACCAUGAUGGACGAACCGAUGAUGGAUUACUAAAGCAUCCGGCAGAUUCUUUAGCUUGGAAAUCAUUUGACAAUAAAUUUCCAAGCUUUGCAAGCGAUCCUAGGGGUGUGAGGCUUGGGCUAGCAUCUGAUGGAUUUAAUCCUUUCAAGAUCAUGAGCACUGCCUACAGUACUUGGCCAGUAGUGCUUGUUCCUUACAAUCUGCCUCCGCGGAUUUGCAUGAAGCAAUCUUCCCUUAUCUUAUCUAUGAUUAUCCCUAGAGAGAAAGGGCCCGGGAAUGAUAUCGACAUUUAUUUACAGCCACUUAUUGAAGAGUUAAAACAAUUAUGGGCAGGUGUCGAGACAUACGAUGUGCUGAGAAAGGAGAACUUUAAUUUACGUACAGCUUUGAUGUGGACCAUUAAUGACUUUCCCGCUUAUGCCAAUUUAUCCGGUUGGAGUACCAAGGGUCGUUAUGCAUGUCCUUGUUGUGCUACACAAACAUGUUCGCAAUGGUUGUACAAUGGGAAGAAGUUCUCUUACAUGGGGCAUCGUCAGUGGUUACCGAAAAAUCAUAGAUUUAGAUUUCAGAGUUCUGUAUUUGACGGUACUGAAGAGUUCGGAGAAGCUCAUUCGCAGACCAGUGGCUCUGACAUCUUGUUCAUGUUGGAAGAUAUGAAUUUCAUUUAUGGGAAGAUGAACUAACCGCCAAACACAGAAAGAAAUAGAAGAUCAAAUGAUGAAGCUGAGGAUGACUCUAAUGAAGAGGACAAUCCUAAUGAAGGGGACUUGUGGAAAAAAAGAAGUAUUUUUUUGAGUUGCCUUAUUGGGAGCAUCACCUUUUACGACACAAUCUUGAUGUUAUGCACAUUGAGAAAAAUGUCUGCGAGAACAUUGUGGGUAUAAUUUUGAAUGUCGACGGAAAAUCAAAAGACAAUCUUCAGAGUCAACUUGAUUUAGUCCAAAUGGGAAUCCGACCUGAUCUUCAUCCCAAUCCACUUCCGAAUGGGAAAUAUCGCUUGCCGCCUUCUAUUUUGUCAAUGUCGAAGACGAAAAAAGAAGUGUUCUUCACGGUGUUGAAGGAUAUAAAGGUUCCAGAUGCGUAUGCAUCAAAUAUAUCUCGAUGUGUUACUGUUAAAGAUCGAAGAUUAUAUUCGCUAAAAUCACAUGACUAUCACAUCUUGAUGCAAGAUUUACUGCCAGUUGUUCUACGAUGUUGUAUGUCCAAGAAGGUGACAUCUUGUAUAAUUGAACUAUCCAAUAUAAUGAAAGCCAUUUGUGGCAAAGUUUUGGAUGUUCAAGAACUUCAGAAGGUACAGGAUCAAGCCGCUUUAACUUUAUGCAACAUGGAAAAAUUCUUCCCACCUUCCUUCUUCACCAUUAUGGUUCACUUGAUAAUCCAUCUCCCGUAUGAAGCAAUUCUUGGCGGACCCGUUUUCUAUCGAUGGAUGUAUCCCAUAGAAAGGUGUUAAUUAAAAUUUUUAAAAUUUUCCUUCAUUCACCUCUAUGCCUUUAGUUACAACUUUUGAUAAUAUUGUAUAUUGUGUUUAGGUUCCUAUCCAAAUUAAAGUCUUACUGCCAAAACAAGCGAUAUCCAGAAGGAUCGAUUACUGAAGGCUACUUGGCAGAGGAAUGUAUGACCUUCUGCUCAAGAUAUUUGGAAGAUGUUGAAACAAGGUUGAAUAGACCAAAUAGGAAUGCUAGACUCACGGACCAUAACUUCGUCGAUACUUAUAUGUUCCAAAGUUUUGGAGAACCAAUGGGCAAAGUUGAAAUUACAGAAUUAGAUCAUUUAUCGUGGGUACAAACACAUCGAUAUGUUCUGUUUCACCACGAAUGAAUGGAACCUUUAUGGAAGUAAGUUCUACUAAUUUGAUAAAUAUUUAUCAAACUAAAAAUUGUUUAUCUUCUAACAAAGUGAACAUUUUUUUAACAUAGUUAGUACAAAAAAAUAUUGAGAUCUCGUUCUCGCUCCCGAAGAACACAACAUCGAGAUAUCAAUAAGUUGUUUAUAGAAUAUUUUCAUGAAUGGUUAAGCCAAACGGUAUGCAGUUGGAGCUUCCGCUUACAAAUAAUAAUGUUUUCUCAUAACAUUUUUAAUUACUCAGUUUACUUUCCAUUCAACAGGUUUGGAGUGGGAAGAACGUAAACGACGAAGUUAAAUGGCUCUCCCAAGGUCCAAAUCGAGUGGUUAAAAGAUAUAGUGUGUUCCUCAUCAACGGAUUCAGAUUUCAUACAAAAUAUCGCGAAAGGUUAAGGAGAACGCAAAAUUGUGGAAUAGUUGUUAAUUCCUCAAUUACAAGUUAUGCUAUUGCUAGGGACAAUAAUCUUGUCGAGGGAAAUGUGGAAUAUUUCAGACUUCUUACUGACAUAAUUGAGUUGGAUUACUAUGGCAAAUGGAAAGUUGUCUUAUUUCGAGGUGAUUGGGCCGAUGUUAAUACUGCUCGUGGAAUUAAGCAAGAUCAAUUUGGUUUUACAAUGGUGAACUUCGCCCGAUUGAUUCAUACAGGACAACAACUGAUAGAUGAGUCGUAUGUAUUCUUAUCUCAAGUAAAACAAGUUUUUUACUCAAAAGAUCCAACUGAUGAGGGUUGGUACGUUGUACUCCGUAACAUCCCUAGAGACUUGUUUGAUAUGGGUUGUGGAAGUAGAGAUAACAUCGACGACAGAUCAGAAACUUUACCCUUUCCAGAACAAAACUUAAACGAUAAUAUCCCUAGUACUAGUGCACAAUUUCAAUGGGUUCGUCAGGAUACGGAUGAAGAUAUUUACGAAUAAUGAUGUAGUAAGAUUUUUCGAUUAUUUAAUUAUAUGUAAUAUCAUAAUUUAAUUCUUGGUCUUAUUAUAUAUUUCAACUAUUUUAUAUGUGCUGUUAUUGUUGUAAUUAGUUAUUAAGUUUUCUACUAUUUUAUGUGUAUUGCAGAUAAAAUUCCUAGAAGAAAAAUUCUAAGGGGAAGCAUUGUUCAAAAUGAUCCAAACUCGACAGAAACAAAUAAUACUGAACAACAGACAGUAAUUGGAUCAUCGAAUGUUCCGAUUACAGCUGAGGAUCCUAUAGAAGUUCAAAGUAAUUUUACAUUUAAUUUACAUGCGUGUUGACUUAUAAUUGAUUUAUUUUUCAAAUUCUUAUAUUAUAAUAUACCAUUUGUAGCUGAAAAUGGUGGGACGCGCAGAGGUCGAGGACGUACGCUACUUAGAGAGUUAUACGAGUUAGAUCCAGUCAAGCGUGUCAAAGUUGGACGAAACAGUUUUGGUCAGCCUGUUGGAUCAAAAGCUCGAAUUUUAGCAGGAUACAUGGGCAUUUUAGCACGAAAUGCGAAUAUGUUGCCUAUCAACUACGAGUCAUGGCAUCAAAUGCCCGAUAGCAACAAAAACCAAGCCCUCGAUAAUAUUAAGGUAACUUAAGGUUAAUGUCAUCUGUAAUGCUUGGGAAAUAGUAUUAACUUGUGUUUUUUGUAGGCGAGGUUUGCUUUGGAGGUCUCGGAUGCUUAUGUAAAGAAGGCAUUAGGAAAAAGAUGGAGAGACCAUAAAAGUACUUUAAAGAAAGAUUAUUAUAAUACAAAAACAACCCUCAAAGAGAAAUUGCAAAAUGUCCCGCCGGGUAUGCUGAGGUACCAAUAGGAAGAUGCGGUUAGAUUUUGGCAUUCGAAGAAAGGCGAGGUAUGAUGUAAUUCCAAACUAUUGUAAUUAUUUUGGUUUAUAGUAUUUACUAUUUAAGUACUAAAAAUUUCAUAACGUAGGAUCGUGAACGAGUUGGAAAAAGCAGCAGGCAGAAACAAAAAUUCACUCACACAGCCAGGUCGAGAAGUUUUGCAUGUGUAGCUGAGGCGAAGGUAUUUUUAAUUUUUUAAUAUUGUCAAAUAUGUAUAACUUUCCGUUAAAUAAUAUUUUUACUACUAUAUUGUAGGAACUAUCGUCCGGUCAAAAAGUUGGACGCCUUCAACUUUUUGAAAUUACACAUAGGAAGAAAGAUGGAUCUGCUAUGAAUCCUGAAGCUAGUGAAAUUAUGGUACGUUUACUUAAUACGAUUUGUCUUAGUUUAGUUAUUUAUAGUGUUUGUUUUCUAAUGGUUUAAUUCAUUGCUUGUAAUGCGACUAUUGUUAUGUUGCGUUUGUUUUUUUAAUAUAUAUUGCGUUCCUAACUAUGUGAUUUAUUUAUUAGGAAAAACUAAAGGAUAAAAAGACGGAGUACGAAGCGAUUGCUUCUAGUGAUAGUUCUGUUCAUCUUGAAGACAUUGAGAACCAGAUUAUUACUGAAGUUUUGGGUCCUGAAAGGUAUGGUCGGGUUCGAUUUCAAGGAUCUUUUGUUAGCCCAACCCAAUAUUUUGGAUCCAGCUCGCAGCAAUACAUGGCUUCGGGGAGUCAGGCUCAAGCUGAAGUUCAGAGGUUAAAAGACUAGAUGGCUCAGAUGCAAGCGACCACAGUUGAGGUUCAAAGGAAAUAUGAAGAACUCUAGCUACAACUCAGAGGCAGCAGCGAUGGAAGCAGCGGCUGCAGUAAGGGAAGCAGAGGCUGCAGCGAGAGAAGCAGAGCAGAGCAGAAAGUACGAUGAACUCCAGCAGCAGCUUCAGACUAUGAUGAAGAUGUUUCAGUCGCAACUUCCACCGUUAUAGCGUAUUGCAUAAAUAUUUUUAUCAUUUUAACUUUUUAACAUUUUUGCAAAAAUAAUAUGAAUUCACUUUUAUUUAUUGAUAUUAAUAUUAUUUUAUUCAUUUAAUUUGAAAUAUUAUAUAAAUUUAUUGCUUUUGGCUGGUUUAGAUCUAGUUGCUUUUGAGUUGUUACUACAGGAGGGCUGAAAAAAUAAAAAAUUUUAUAUAAAAAAAUAUUCCAAAAAUAGUGGCGUUUUUUAUAAAAGCGCCGCUAAAGAAACAUUUCUUUUAGCGGCAUUUGUGAAUAAAGCGCUGCUAAAGAACCUGAUCUUUAGUGUCAUUUUUUUGAAGCGCUGCUAAAGAACAUGACUUUUAGCGGCGUUUUUUUCCAAGCGCCGUUAAAGAACAUGAUCUUUAGCGGCGUUUAUUUUUGUAAACGCUGCAAACGUUAGCGACGUUUUCGUUAGCGGCCUUUAAGCGCCGCAAAGAUCUUUAGUGGCGUUAAAAAGCGCCGCUAAAGGCCUAAAAAAAUGCCGCUAAAAACUUGUUUUGGUGUAGUGCAUAAAUUCAACAGUUGGAUUAUUAAAAUAUUAAUCGUAUAGGGGGAUACAAAAGGAUGUAAAACAACUUUCAUUUUAUACCGGUGUAAGUGGAUUACUCCCCAUAUUUUUUUAUACACUUAUUUAUAUAUAUAUCGAAAUUUUACAUACUUUAUUAAAUAUGAUUUUGUAUCUUGAAUCUUCAACUAAUUAGUAUAUUUUAGCCAUGAUAUACCUCAACCAAUAAUAACUAAAUUAUGAUAUACUAACGAUGUGAGUGAAAAAAAAACUUAUGUAACAAUUUAUUUUAAAAAAUAAUGAUAUAUAUAAAAAAAGAGUUAUUGAAAUAGUAAAGUUAUGUAAUAGCUACUAAGGUGUUUUUCUUCAAAUUUUAUUAUACUCAUUUUUCUAGAUUUUACAUAAAAUAUAAACUGAUAAAAAUACUCUCAUAAUAAUAUUUGUUCUUUUAUAAAAGUAAUAGAUUUUCAUAAUUUUUCAACUGAGUUGAGACUGAGUUGAUGGGUGACACCAAUUCAAACAACCUUUUAAAAAAUAAUAUUAAUUUAAGGUACACCCAUAAUGGGAUUGGAAAAAAUUAUGUAAUAGACAUAUUUAUUAAAAGCUUAUAUAAGAAUUAAAUGAAUUACUUGUUGAAAUGAUAAAUCUUAAAUCUUAAAAUUUUUCGUUGAAGGUUCAAAUCUCACAAUCUUAAAUUUAUUAUCGAUUUUAUAUAAAAAUUUAAAAAGAUGUGAAUACCAUUAAAAUAAUGUAAUUUAAUUUGUUAAGUAAAAAAGAUAAUAUAGAUAUAAGAAAAAAACUUCCUUAAAAAAACAUUAAAUCAUACCUUCGCAUAACGUCGAGUAAAUGCGAGUAUCCCUAUCACACACACAUAGAUGAUUAGAGCUCAACCUCGACCAGCAAUAUUCACCAUCGGAUGUACAAGAAGUAUCCGAACUAUCAUUCAAAUAGCAUUCUCCAUAUAUUGGUGUGCCCCAAUGCAAUUGUGUUGGGACAUGCGUCCUACUACUUAUAUCAGAAUCUUCUAAAUCAUAGUCAUCAGAAAUCAAGGAAGCAAAUCCGCAUGAUUUUUUCUUCCUAUAAUCACUAGAAUCAACCCUAUUAGUCAUGUUUAUGUAGAAUGAACUGAGAUCCUGAGGGAAAAAAGCAAGACAACUAGCAACAUAAGAAGUCUUGUUAUUAAUCCUACAACUUGGUUGCAAACAUCCGCCCAAAAGUUUAUCUGUUUCAUUGCCAAAAAUAGUAACCAAAUUAUCGCAACCUGAAUAAUAAAAACUGUUGUCAGAAGUUGAGUAGGAAAAGCGGGUGCCAGUUAGGUUGAGACUCAUCCCAUUAUGAUGGUUCUUUCGAGUUUCGACAGUUGAAGUAAGUUAUUGGAUGGUUGACCUUGAUGGUGCCUUUCAAAAAAUCAAAGUUCAAUAUUUGUAGAUUCGUGUCAUUUAUGUUUAAGAAAGGAACUUCUCCCCCGUUGGCGGUUUUGUUGCAAAUUACUUCAAACCAAUCGUCAAUUUCAUAAUCUUGGUCCUUCAUUCUAAAGGGGUAGUGAAAAGUAACAUUUCCGCAGGGCCAUACCUUGUAGGUGUUGACGUUGAUAGGUCCUAGUCUUGGUCUUCCGCAUACUGCGGAUUUAGCAAAAAAGGAGUCAAUCGUAAAAUCUACUAAAUAUAUGUACAUCCAAUUAGGGGUGAGUAAAGCUCGAUUAGAUUUGAAAAUAUCAAAAAAAAUUCAAAUUUCGAGUUUAUCGAAUUGAGUUAUUCAAAUUAUUAGAGUCAACUCAAAUAAGUAAUUCGAGUUUCAAGUUCAAAUCGAGUUGAAUUUUACAAUUAGAAUAAUUUGAAUAACAGAUUGGUGUAUAUAUCCUUUACGUCACUGUUAAGUUUGAAAAUGAGCAAAUUGGUCUCUCUCAACAAAAAAUUAAAAAAAUUCAAAAUAAUUUUAUAAAAUUCAAAAUAAUUUUUAAAUUUCAAAAUAUUUAUAAAAAUUCCAAAAUUUAUAUUUUUUAAAAAAUUAUAAGAAAUUCUUAAAAUAUAUAAAGAAAGUUAAAAAAUUAAAAAUUUUCUAGAAUAAUAAUUUUGGGACCUAAAUUUGUUAAUUAAUGAUUCAAGUUUAUCAUACUAAAGUAUUUUUUAUUUUGCUUUGAAAAAGUUUUCAAAUAUAUAUGGUUUCAAAUUUAUAUGCUUUAAUAAAGAAUUAGUUAUACUGUAACAAUAUUUUAAUUUGACAUGUUUAAUUUUUUAAUUUAAAUCAAAAAAAUUUACUCUAUUCGACUAGACUCAAAUUUCAUUUCACUCGACUCAAUUUGAAAAAAUUUUGAAUUGAGUUAAGAUAAUAAAAUAGUACUUGCCAACUCGUUUAACUCGAAAUUUUAUAUAUAUAUAUAUAUAAAACCGAUAUGAAUCCAGCGGUGUCCUUGAUCUCCCUAAUUAAGUGAACAAAUUAGUAAACUACACCUUUCUGCCUCUUUCAAAAGAAUUAAUAAUUUAACAUAAACACUUUAACCCUUGAAUAAAUGUAAAAAUUACAUUUUUAACUCCUCUAAAAAAUAAUAAUUUAAUUUAAUUUAAUCUCAUUUAAGUAUUAAUUCAAGUUUUUGGAAUACAAAACUUUUAGGUAUAAAUUUUUUAAAGCCAAAAAUAUUAAUAUACAAAACGAAUGAUCCUAAAAACUUUUUUUAGAACUUAUAUGAUUCUAAAUACUGAUUUUAAACCAUUAGCAAAAUCUAUAUAUUAACUGAAUUAAAAGAAGAAGAAUAAAAGCCAAGCAAUUGAAGUGACAGCGCGACUGACCUCCGUCACCGCAAUAGGUGGAAUUCAAGUUGAGCACGGCGGGAACAUGCGUAGUUCCAUUAUUGAUGCCAGUGGGUAAUGGGUAAGCACUACCGAAAGAGUACUUGCUAAAGAUGAAAGCAGAUGCGCAUCUUUUGCUGUCAGGAUACAUGGCUGUCAUGUUGACAGUAUAGGAAGUGAAAUUUGCAGUAAUUAGAGUAACGCAGCCAGAUUCAGAAGCACCAUCGUCAGACCUUAGUUGAAUGCAGCCGCCAAGUGAAUCACCUUCGUUACUUAAAAUAGUAGCCAAAUUUCCAAAACCUACUGACCCGAAAUAAUUCAUGUCACUUGAGAAGAAAAAUGGAGUGCCUGAGAGAUCCACACUCACACUAGCCUUAUUACAGUUAAUAUAAGUAACUGGAUUAUUGAUGAGAAUGGCGUCUGAAUAUAUGGAAUCAAGUAUCUCCAGAUCGAUGCCAUUUACGUUUUUGAAUGGCUUUACCCCAUUGAGGGUUGGGUUGCAAGUCACUCUAAACCAAGGUUUAGUAUAGCAGGUGCUAUGGAUUCCAAAAGGGGAUGGAAUUGUAAUAUUUCCACAUGCUUCUUUACCACAGGCAGUUUCUUGAGAUUCUGAUGCUUGUAAUGUUGGGCACAACAGGAAGAGGAGUAGGAGGAUGAAGUAAAGCGGUAAGUGAAAACCCAUUUGCGUUGUUAUUUGGUUUGAGGGAAAUCAAUGAAGAUUUAAAGAAACAAAGGAUGUUUGAGUGAGAAGCAAAUGAAAAGUAUUUGGUCACACUUUCCUUGAAGUUCCAGUAUAAGUGCAUUUGAUUUGAGAAUAAUUCAUUAAUUUGCAAAGACUGUUGGAUACAAUUUUCCAGCUACACGUAAGAGGUCUCCAUUCAAAGAAAUAAAGGGAAGAGUAGGAGGAUGAAGUAAAGCGGUAAGUGAAAACCCAUUUGCGUUGUUAUUUUGUUUGAGGGAAAUGAAUGAAGAUUUAAAGAAACAAAGGAUGUUUGAGUGAGAAGCAAAUGAAAAGUAUUUGCUCACACUUUCCUUGAAGUUCCAGUGUAAGUGCAUUUGAUUUGAGAAUAAUUCAUUAAUUUGCAAAGAUUGUUGGAUACAAUUUUCCAGCUACACGUAAGUGGUCUCCAUUCAAAGAGUAGGUUACGUAUAAAGAGUUAAGAGACAAAUAAAAGGGAGAGUCGAGCCUUAUAUUCCUUCAAAUAUUUUUACAAUAGCAUUAAGAAAUAAGGAUAAUUUAUGUUUCUCCCUUCAAAACUUUUAAAUAUUUCAAAUCAUAUUGUAAAAUAGAAAGCUUGAUACUAUAGAUUAAAUAAAAUCAUUUUUAAAAUUUUAUUAGUUAAUAUUAAUUUAAUUAUAUUAAAAGUGGAUGAAAGAAGUGAUAAAUAAACUUAAUUUAAAAUGAAGAUAUAUGUGGUUAUAAUCAAUUUUAAUUAAUUUUGUACUUUAUUUUUAUAUACAUAUAUUUAUAUUAAUUAUUAAGUUUAUACAAUCCAAGUUGUCUAUAAAGCUAGAAGGGAGGAGAUAACAAAGGGUGAGCAUUAUCCUUAAUGAGUUAUAGCAAAGGUGAUUGUUCUUUACAACAACUUGAGAAGAAAAUCCGAGGAAUGCCACUUUUGACGCUGUACAUACUCCAUGUUGCGAGAGGUAAAAAUAGUGUCCCAGCACUAGUAGUACUGCAACCUGUAUAGAUAUAAGAAACAUUGUUAAAGAUGAAUUUGAAAAUUAAAAUACAGGCUAAAAAACCAUGAAAAUUUUUCAAUAAAGUUUCAUUCAUAUUUGAUAGCCAUUCAUUUAAUGAACAAUGAGACAACCUUUUUACAUCAUUCAAUUGUUUUCAUAUUCAAUUUUUAUAAAUUUAAUGAUAAAUAACAGUUAUUGCAUCACGCAUCUAAAAGUAAAUAAAUUACUAUUUAAAUUGACAUAAAUUAAAUAAUCAUAAUGAUUCCACUUUAAAAAUAAGAAGUGUAAAUUCACCACACACCUACAAUAAAAUUACGAGUGUUUUGAAUUUGUACUUUGCGCUCGCAACAAAAUCCCAUACUAUUGUAUUCAUAACGAGGAGGGCAAGACUUAUGAAUUGAAAAAAAGAAAAGCUAUAAUCAGUUAAAGUAUUGAAUUAAAUUAUCAUUUUCUCCUUAUUCCACUCACAUCAUGGAUGUGCCUUAAAUUUGUAUUAUUUUUUAAAGAGAUAAUUGAAUUGGUGUCACCCAUCAAUUGAGCCUUGACUUAAUUGAGAAAUUAUGAAAAUCCAUUACUUUUAUAAAAAAUAAGUAUUAUUAUAAAAGUAUUUUUUUCAUUUUAUAUAAUAAGAUUACUUGAGUUUGAUCUCGAAAAAAAUUUGAAUUCGACUCGGUAAAUCAAGCUAAAUUCGAGCUUAGUAAUGCUUGACUUGAAUAGCUUGCGAGUCUUAACGAUCUUUUCAUAUUUUUAUAUUAUUAAGUUAUGAUAAUUCUCUUAAUUAUCAAGUCCAGAUCGAGUUUAAGUAGCUUGAUUAUAUAUCAAGUGAGUUCGAACAUAGAAACAAAUGUUAAAUUGAACUCAAACCAAAUAUCGAAUUCUAAAUUUUAAGUCGAACUUAACAAUAUUCAAACUAGACUAAAUUACCCCACUACCCUCUACAAGCUAAUCAGUAUAGCAAGUAUCUGCCCCCGUAAAAGGUGCAAUGCACCCCAUUUGCUCUCAUGGCAUCUUCUUCCCUAAUUCAAUGUACAGUAGAAAUUUCCAAGGAAGAUUUGCAAAGAAAGACGAUAAUCUGAACAUUAUUGACAAUUUCCUCACAAUCAAGCUAAAGUUUUCCUAUUCAGAAGCUUUUAUGGAAGAGUCAGCUCUCCUCAUCACAUACAAUCUUUAUCAUAUGUAAGUUUUAUGAUGGGAAACCACUCAGAAACCUUCUUUCAAUAAUAAUAGGAAAACAUCCAAGCAAAGUAAUGAAUGCUUUUUCACUUGUUUGCCAACUUACUUUUUUAGUUUUUAGAGACAAGCAAAACAUGAUUCAUUGUUUCUUAAACUCGUCUAAUUAGACACGGUUUACGCCAUAUAUCAUAUAUGAUAACAAAAGAAUUCUUUCUAUGUGAAAAAACAAUAGUCAAUAUAUUAAAUAGACAUUGAGUAUUAAGCACAAAUUGCAGAUUUUAGUGAGACCGAAAUGUUCUCCAGUUUCAUCAAAUGACACAAAGCUAGAGGAAUAUGACCAGUCACUACACCAGAAUAGGCUUUUAGCGGCACUUUUAGCGGCGUUUUUAACAAAAGCGCCACAAAAAAUGGAGCAUUAGCGGCGAUUUAUACCAAGCGCCGGUAAAGGUCGCGCAUCCGCGGCGAUUUCAAACAAGUGCCGCUAAAACUAGGAAAUAGCGUCGUUUUAUAUAAAGCGCCACAAAAAAACUAAAGACCAACGACGUCGUUUUUGCGAUUUUUAAACCUUUAGCGGCGUUUUUAUUUGUGAGCCACUAAUGCUCGCAUCUAUAGUAGCGUUUUUAUCUGAGCGCAGCUAAUUCCCCGAUCUUUAGGGGCGUUUCUAUAUGAACGCCGCAAUAUCUCUGGUCUUUAGCGGCGAUUUUAUUUCAGCGCCGCUAAUGCUUGCAUCUUUAGUGGCGUUUUAUUCUGAGCGCCACUAAUGCUCUUUGCAUUUAGCGGCGAUUUUGUAUAAGCAUCGGUAAUGCUCGGAUCUUUAGUGACGUUUUUAUCUAAGCGCCAGUAAUCCUCCGGCUUUUAGCGGCGUUUUUAUCUAAGCGCCGCUAAUUUAUUACCUUUAGCGGCGUUUUUCCUGAUGCGUCGCUAAUAGUAACAAAAAUCUUAUGAGUUGAAAUAAUUAAUAUUUUGUUAUUAUGUGGUACAAUUUACAUCUAAAUUAUAAUUAAAAAAUAUUAUUGAUUAAUACAAAAAGUUUUUAUUAAAGAGAAGUCGUAUAUGUAUAUAACAGCUAACUAUUUAUUACUAAUUUUCAAUCACUACAGUUGAUUUAAACUACUUUAUUACGAGACAAAAUAUAUUAAAUUAUGAAUAAAAAAUAUAAUAAAACUUAAAUUUUUGUAUUGUAAAGAAUAAAUUAAAAAUAGAAAUUAACUUUUGUAAGAGUAAUAAAUUUUGGUAGUACUGUUCGACUAAAUAAAUCAAAGGAAUUAAUAUAAAUUAAACACCAAUUUAUACAAAAUAUAUUUUAUGAUUAUAUAUAUAUUAAAGAUUUAUGGAAUUUUUUUAUGGACGGUAUUUUAAGAAGUUCGGGGUAUAGAUUUAAGGUUUAAGAUUUAAGGUUAAUUUAGGGUUAGAGGUUUAGGGGUUUGAGAUUUAGGGUUUCAACGGUCAUGUGUUAGGAUUUAAUUUAGAUUAAUAUUAGUUUUUGAUUAUUUUUUAUGGUAAAUAUAUAUGUUAUUAUAUAUUUGUAAAAUAAAUCCAGAUCAAUAAAUUUAAUAUAUUGAAGUUUAGUAUAGUUUAUAUUAUAAUUAAUAGAUAUAUAUAUAUAAUAGCCUUUACCGGCGUUUUAGUGAAAAACGCCACAAAUAUUGCAAUAUACGACGUCGUUACGCGUUAGGGAAUCAGUUUCUAUUGUGGCGUUUUAUAGAGAAGCGCCGCUAAUAGUCUUGAAACUCUGUCAGAACGGCGUCGUUUCAGUUGAAUGAUGUACUCUAUUACUGGCGUUUUUUUGGGAAAACGCCGCAAAUAUGUCAACUAUUUUGUGAAAACGUCAUCGUUUCUUUCUGUUGUUGAAAAUUUAGUGGCGUUUUUACGCAGAAACGCCGCAAAUGUGAGUUAUAAUUAAUUUAAACGGCGCCGUUUCUUUACAGGCCAUUUAACCCGUGUCCUCAUGUUUUACGAAUUUAUUAUCGAAAAAAAAUGCAUUUUAUAUACAAAAUUUUAUUAAAAAAAUUGUAUUUUAUAUAAAGAGACAAAAUUUGUUGUACCAAUUAAGUUUAUUAUAACAAAUUUUUUUUCCAUUUGUUAAGAGGACAUUUGAAGCUUCAUACGAAAUUUUGUCAAACAUAAUAUUGCUACCUUAUUUCAACUUUAUACAACUUUUUUAACUAUAUAUAUAUAACUUGUUGCUUAAUAGAUUUUCACUAUAUUUUUUAUUAUAUAUUAAAGAAUAUUUAUGGAAUAUUUUGGUCGAUGCAUGGUCGUAUUUUAAGGAGUACAGGCCGGUAUAUAUGAAUUUAAGGUUUGGUAUUUAUGGUUUAGGAGUUAGGGGCUGGGUUAUGCUUUAGGGGUUAUAGACGUGAAUUUAUGGGUUAGGGUUAAGGACAGGGUUAAUUAGGGUUUAGGGGGAUUUAAGGGUUAGAGGUUUUAGGGGUUUGGACAGGGUUUAUGGUUUCUUAAGAGGUUAAUUAAUAUUAGAUUGAUUAAAUUUGGAGGUCAAUAUAUAUGUUUUGAGAUAAAUUUAAUAUUAAGAUAAGUUUUGAGUAUAUAGGUAGAUGAUCUCUUUAUGCAUGUAGCUACAUAUAUAAAUUGAUUGGUUAAUAUGAAGAUUACAAGGUUAAUUUAUAAUUUGAGACUUGUUAAAUGAUACAAUAUAACUAAUAUAUACUAGUUAUAUAAUUAAAAACAUUUAACCCAAAUUAACGGCCAUUUGAUAUAUUUUUUGAUAUAUAUAUAUGGAUAUAUUAAUUAUAUAUAUGGAUAUAUAGAUAUAUAGAUAUUAAUUUAAGAAUUUGUAUAUAUAGGACCAAAAUAAUAUUGGUAUAAAUAAAUAAACAAAUAAAUAAGUAAGUAAUUAUUUAUUUGUUAAAUAAAUUGGUAAUUAAUUAUUUAAAUGUAAGAGAAAAAAAAUGAGAGUUUUAGCGGCGUUUCUAUAUAAAAACGCCGCAAAAGGUAUCCUUUACCGUCGUUUCAUUCAAAAAUGCCACAAAGAUUACAAUAUACGACGUCGUUACGUGUUAGGGAAUCAGUUUCUAUUGUGGCGUUUUUACACAAAGCGCCGCAAAAUUUACAUAACUUUACUUAAACGGCGUCGUUUCUUCAGAGGACAAAUUAACUCUCCUUCAGUGUCGUCCUCCAUUUACAGCAACUGGAAAUCACAGAGAAAUUAGGAGAGAACUUUUCUAAGUGUCGAAAGGGGGGAAAACUUUUCACGAAAAUACAAAGGAAAGAAACGUGCGAGCGAGUCGAUCUUGAAACAAGGUGGGCACAGCUGCGAGAUUUCUCCAUUGAAUAGGUAUGCCGUUUCUGUUCUUUUUUGAUUAAAAUUUUUGGGAUUUAGGUCAGUCUAAGUUAAUUGGGGUUUUAGGGUUUCGAUUAUAGAACAUUAAAAAUGUGGAUUUUGGGUUUUUGGUCAGUCUAAGUAAAUUUAGGGUUUCUUUCCGUGUUGCCUUAAUGCGUUGUUGCUGCUUCUUCCUCCUUCCUUAAACCCCUAUCCGACCCGAUUUGUGGAUUUCUGGUGAUAAUCCGCAAAGUCUUUUAGAAAAGCCGUACAAAUGCUUUUUGUAUGUGCUGCGAAUUAAUGUCAAAACACAGUAUUCAAUAUAGUUAAUCAUGAUUUAUUUUGAGAAAUCAUUAUUAAAAUUAUGGUGUUCGUUUUGUUUGAAUCAUCGAUUUCUUUAAUAUCCUUGCCUAUUCUGUUAUUCCAGCAUCCAUUUAAGGGGAAAUGUAUUAUUUCUUCAAUCCAUUACUGAAAUUGUUUGUUUAAUUUACUUUCAUAUUACUUUCAUAUUACUGGUUGAGUAAGUAAAUGUGUGAAUGUUGUUUGAGUAAUGCUUUUUCGGUAUUGAACUGGGUUGUUUGAUGUUAGACUUAAUUUAGGCAUACAAUAUAAUCAAUUUGGAAAAACGAUAGGUAGGCCACAUCAAUUCAGUAUUUACUGGAGAGAAUUUGUUAUGCCUAGUGUGCAUUAUCUGCGUAAUGUGAAUUCAAUUUGUAGUUAAGUUCGGUUUUGGUUAAUUUAUGAUUUAAAUAUAUCUUUAUUGUUGCUUAAUCAUGCUGUCAUAUAAGUAUAUGGUGUACUAUAUAUAUAUAUAUAUAUAUAUAUAUUGGUGAUGUUUAAUAUAUGAAAUUCGGCAUAACUUAUAAGUUAAAAUGUUUGUCAUAUGUAUUAAAACAUAUAUAAUACUUAGCUAUUUCACAUUGGUUAGGUGAUAUAUAUAUAUAUAUAUAUAUGUGUGAAAUGUAUGAUAUGCCUGAAUUUAACUAAUAAUUAAAUAUAGGUUAUGAUUUAUAGAUUGAAAUAUGCAAAGGUUGACUAGUACUUAUAACAGGUUUGCUAUUUAGAAAACAGGCUGUUAUUAGUAUUUAUAUUUGCAUUAUUUGCCUUUAAAUCUACUUUAUUUUCAAAACGUCCUUAACGAAACUGUUGCUAAUCAAAUGGGUAGCAAUUUUGACAAAAAUUGAGCCCCAUUUAAUUUGUCACCUUCUGACGUGGGGUGGAUUUUAUAAAUAUCUGCUUUAUAGCGUUGGGAAUAGAAUGAGUACCUUAUUACUUCAUCAAGCUGAUCAGUUUUGAUGAUAGGUUAUAAGCUGAUGUACGACUUAAAUGAUAUGGGUUUAAAUCAUUUAUGCAUUUAGGUUUUUUAGGGUUUUUAGUUUAGCUAACUUUGUGAGUAUCCUAUCCUGUUUUUUUUUUUAAGUUUUUUGGCUUCAAUUACUUCUGGUUUUUCGAUACUAAUGUAUUUCUGUCUUUUUGUUCCAGUAUUUGCUUCGCAAUUGAGGAAAUUUAAGGUAUUUAUUCCUAUGUUUCUCUAUUUAGUUUUCUUAUAAAAAAAAGUCAAAUUGUUAAAAAAAAAAUUUCUGUUAUUUUUUAGUUUUAUAGUUUAAUUAUUAUUUCUCAUUUUUAGAAGGGAGUUUCAAUUACCAAUUUAGCUAAAUUUCCAUUUCACUUUGCAGCUUAUUACAUUAUUUGAUGUUUAAAUUUAAGAAUUGCUAUUCGGCAAAGGCAAUUGUUUUAAACUAUUAAAAUUCGGAAUACAACUCUUAAACAACUACAUAUAUUUGAGUAAUUGAAUAAAUUAUGGGCGAAUCGUUUAAUCGGUUGAGCGUUUGCAAAUCAUCGAUUUCCGAUAUUAUGUGUUGCAAUUAUAAAUUUUACUUCAAAUUAAUGACUGAUUAUCGAUCUUAUAUUUGCAACUUGGUUUUAUGUUAAUGAUUAAUAAUCUCGGACAUACAAAUAGAUUUGUAUAUUUAUUUAUAUUUUCUACUAAAAUAAAAAAAUACUUUUUCGAAAUAUAUUUAUUUUGUAAUGGCAAUUCAAAGUAUUAUUUCUUUAAUAACAAAAAUUGUUUUCAUAAAUAUAAACAAAUUAAUUAUAUCUUGUAAUGUGAAGUCAAUGUUAAAUUUUUUUUACUGACAUAAUUUGUUCUUUGAUUUAAUAAAAGCUAUAAAACAUAUAUCAUAUCGUAACGAUAUUUGAAUUAUCCGGAGAUUAAAGCUACAAAAGUAUAUUUUAAAUGAAAUGUAUUCAAAGUUAUAUUUUAAAACAUCUUUGAUAUAUAUAUUUAUAUAAAGUUUUAAUAUAUUUAUUAAAAUUAUAUAUAUACUUGAAAAAUUUAUCAAUCAUAUCAUAAUUUACAUACAUAACACAUAGCCUACAUGACUUACUUAAUACACAACUUAAAUAAUUUAAAUAACUUACAUAAUACAUAACUUACAUUCAUAACUUACAUAAACUUAUAUGUUAAUACAUAACUUAUAUAAAAUUUUUAUAUAAACUUACAUAAUACAUAGCAUACAUAACAAAUAUAAACAAAACUUACAUAACUUAAAUAUAUUACACAACUUACAUAACCUACAUAAUACAUAACUUACAUAACUUACAUAACCUACAUAAUACAUAACUUACAUAACUUACAUAAUACACAAUAACUUACAACUUACAUAACAUACAUUAAUUUGAUAACUUACAUAAGUUACAUAAUACACAAUAACUUACAACUUACAUAACAUACAUAUUUAUGAUAACUUACAUAGCUUACUUAAUACAUGACUUACAUAACUUAUACUCGUACAUAACUUACAUAAUUUACUUAAUACAUAAAUUAUGUAACAUAUGAUAUACCUACAUAACUCAUUUAUACUUACCACUGAACAACUUACCCUUGUAAUUUCUGGUGAAAAUCAGACUUCAAGACUGUAAAAAAUGGACCGGUCUUGGAUGAAUUUGUCAAGGGUAAGCGACGGUUAUCGAAAUGGAGUACAGACAUUUCUAAAUUUUGCAUUUCAACAUGCAAGCCAAGAGAACAUGAUUCUUUGCCCGUGUAAUAAGUGUGUCAACAUAAACUGAAAUUAUCGUGAAGUUGUAUACGAGCAUCUAAUUGUUGAUGGGUUUUUUCGGGGUUAUAAACAAUGGCUUUUUCAUGGAGAAUGCCCGCGUAGUACUUCCUCUUCAAGGAUGGAUGUAUCCUAUGAUAGUACUGCUUACCAUCAGACUUUUAGAGGGGAUGACAUGGAAGGGAUGUUGCGGGAAGCAUUUAAUAUUCAUAGUCAUGGUGGACAAUCGUUCCCACCCGACUUUGUGCCAUCUGAUGAUUGUAAUCUCGGUGGAAAUGCUUUUACCGAACCCGGAAGCAGUGUACAUCAUGAAGAGCCGAAUGGAGAAGCGGCAAAGUUCUACGCGCUACUUAAUGACAUGAACGAAGAACUGUAUGAGGGAUCAAAAUUCUCAAAAUUGUCUUUCUGUAUUCGUCUUUUUCAGUUAAAAUGUUUGGGAGGGUGGACCGGGAACUCUUUGACAGUGCUGUUAGAGUUUUUGAGAGAAAUGUUUCCGUUUGCAAAAAUCCCUCAAUCAUGCAAAGAUAUGAAGAAAAUGAUAAAAGAUUUAGGUCUUGGGUACACCAAAAUUCAUAGUUGCCCAAAUGACUGCAUGUUGUAUUGGGGCGAUCGGAGAAGUCAACAAUGCUGUCAUAUAUGCGGCCAAUCACGUUGGAUAAAUAGAAACACAAAAUAUGGGAACGACGAUGAAAAUGUUGCACAACCAAGACAAAAGCCGGUUAAGAUUUUAUGAUAUUUUCCGCUGAUACCAAGGCUUCAAAGGCUUUUCAUGUCAUCGAAGACAGCGGAGUCUAUGACGUGGCACCAUGACGGACGAACCGAUGAUGGGAAGUUGAGGCAUCCGGCAGAUUCUUUAGCUUGGAAAUCAUUUGACAAUAAAUUUCCAAGCUUUGCAAGCGAUCCUAGGAGUGUGAGGCUUGGGCUAGCAUCUGAUGGAUUUAAUCCUUUCAAGAUCAUGAGUACCACGUACAGUACUUAGCCAGUUGUGCUUGUUCCUUACAAUUUGCCUCCGUGGAGUUGCAUGAAGCAAUCUUCCCUUAUUUUAUCUAUGAUUAUCCCUGGUGAGAAAGGGCCCGGGAAUGAUAUCGACAUUUAUUUACAGCCACUUAUAGAUGAGUUAAAACAGUUAUGGGCUGGUGUCGAGACAUACGAUGUGGUGAGAAAUGAGAACUUUAAUUUACGUGCAGCUUUGAUGUGGACCAUUAAUGACUUUCCCGCUUAUGCCAAUUUAUCCGGUUGGAGUACCAAGGGUCGUUACGCAUGUCCUUGUUGUGCUGCACAAACAUGUUCGCAAUGGUUAUACAAUGGGAAAAAGUUCUCUUACAUGGGGCAUCGUCGGUGGUUACCGGAAAAUCAUAGAUUUAGAUUUCAGAGUUCAGUAUUUGACGGUACCGAAGAGUUCAGAGAAGCUCCUUCGCAGACAAGUGGAUGUGAUAUCUUGUUCAUGUUGAAAGAUAUAAAUUUCAGUUAUGGAAAGAUGAACCACCCGGCGAACACGCAAAUAAAUAGAAGAUCAAAUGAUGAAGCUGAUGAUGACUCCGAUGAAGAGGAUGAUCCCAAUGAGGCAGACUUGUGGAAAAAGAGAAGUAUUUUUUUUGAGUUGCCUUAUUGGGAGCAUCAGCUUUUACGACACAAUCUUGAUGUUAUGCACAUUGAGAAAAAUGUCUGUGAGAACAUUGUCGGUACAAUUUUGAAUGUAGAUGGAAAAUCGAAAGACAAUCUUCAGAGUCGACUUGAUUUAGUCGAAAUGGGAAUUCGACCUGAUCUUCAUCCAAAUCCACUUCCUAAUGGGAAAUAUUAGUUGCCGCCUUCAAUUUUUUCAAUGUCGAGGAUAGAGAAAGAAGUGUUCUGUACGGUGUUGAAGGAUAUAAAGGUUCCUGAUGCGUAUGCAUCAAAUAUAUCUCGAUGUGUUAGUGUUAAAGAUCGAAGACUGUAUUCUCUAAAAUCACAUGACUAUCACAUCUUGAUGCAAGAUUUACUGCCAGUUGCUCUACGAUGUUGUAUGUCGAAGAAGGUGACGUCUUGUAUAAUUGAACUAUCCAAUAUAAUGAAAGACAUUUGUGGCAAAGUGCUGGAUGUUCAAGAACUUCAGAAGGUACAGGAUAGAGCCGCAUUGACUUUAUGCAACAUGGAGAAAAUCUUUCCACCUUCCUUCUUCACUAUUAUGGUUCACUUGAUAAUCCACCUCCCGGGAGAAGCAAUUCUCGGCGGACCCGUUUUGUACCGAUGGAUGUAUCCCAUAGAAAUGUGUUAAUUUAUGUUAAAAACUCUCCUUCCGUAAACCCUAUAUGCAUUUAAGUACAACUUUUCAUAACAUUAUUUCGUGUUUAGGUUCCUAUCCAAAUUAAAGUCUUACUGCCGCAACAAGCGUUAUCUAGAAGGAUCGAUUACUGAAGCCUACUUAGCAGAUGAAUGUAUGACAUUCUGUUCGCGAUACUUGGAUGAUGUCGAAACAAGGUUGAGCAGACCAAAUAGAAAUGCUGGACUCACGGAUCAUAACUUGGCCGAUACUUAUUUGUUCGAAAGUUUUGGAGAAGCAAUCGGCAAAGUGGAAAUUGCAGAAUUAGAUGGUUUUUCGUGGGUACAAGCACAUCGGUAUGUUCUGUUUCACCACGAAUCAAUGGAACCUUUACGCAAGUAAGUUCUACAAAUUUGAUAAAUAUUCAUCAAUUAAAAAUUGUUUAUAUUCUAACAAGCUGAACAUAUAUUUUAUACAUAGUGAGUACAAACAAAUACUGAGAUCUCGUGCGCGCUCCCGAAGAACACAACUUCGAGACAUCAAUAAGUUGUUCAUUGAAUCUUUCUAUGAAUGGUUAACCCAAACGGUAUGCAAUUGUAGCUUUCAUCGACAUAUAAUAAUAAUCUUCUCUCAUAACAUCGCUAAUUACUCAGUUGACUUUCCAUACAAUAGGUUUGGAGUGGGAAGAACGUGACCGACGAAGUUAAAUGGCUUUCUCAAGGUCUAGAUCGGGUGGUUAAAAGAUUUAGUGCGUUUCUCAUAAACGGCUUCAGAUUUCAUACAAAAUAUCGCGAGAGAUUGAGGAGAACGCAAAAUUCUGGAAUAGUUGUUAAUUCCUCAAUUACUAGUUAUGCUAGUGCUAGGGACAACAAUCCUGUCGAGGGAAAUGUCGAAUAUUUCAGACUUCUUACUGAUAUAAUUGAGUUGGAUUACUACGGAAAAUGGAAAGUUGUCUUAUUUCGAGGUGAUUGGGCCGAUGUUAAUACUGGUCGUGGAAUUAAGCAAGAUCAAUUUUGUUUCACAAUGGUGAAGUUCAAUCGAUUGAUUCAUACAGGACAACAAUUGAUUGAUGAGCCGUACGUAUUUUCUUCUCAAGUCAAACAAGUAUUUUACUCAAAAGAUCCAAUUGAUGAGGGUUGGUACGUUGUACUCCGUAACAUCUCUAAGGACUUGUUUGACAUAGGCAGUGGAAGUAGAGAUGGCGUUGACGACAGAACAGAAACUUUGCCAUUUCUAGAACAAAACUUAAAUGAAAACAUCCCUAGUACUAGUACACACAGUCAAUGGGUCCGCCAGGAUACGGAUGAAGAUAUUUAUGGAUUAUAAUAUAGUAAGCUUUUACGAUUAUUUAAUCAUAUGUAAUAUCAUAUCAUAAUAUUGGUCUUAAUAUAUAUUUGAACUAUUUUAAACAUAUUAUUAUUGUUGUAAUUGUAUAUUAAGUUUUCAACUAAUUAUUUUGUAUUGCAGAUAAAAUGCCUAGAAGACCCGUUCGAGCGCACCGCAUUGUUCAAGGUACUCCAAACUCGACCGAAACAAACAGCACUGAACAACAAACUGCUAUUGGAUCUUCGAAUGUUCCGGUCCCACAUGACGAACCUAUAGAAGUUGAAACUAAUUUAACUUCUAACUUACAUGUGUGUUCACUUAUUAUUUAUUUUAUCUUUUAAAUUUCUUAUAUUACAAUACUUUUAUUUUCUAGCUGAAACUGUCGGGACGCGGAGAGUUCGCGGACGUACUCUACUGAGGGAUUUAUACGAUCUAGAUCCAAUCGAGCGUGUCCAAGUAUCCAGUAAUAGCUUUGGUCAGCCUAUUGGAUCAGAAGCUCGCCUUUUAGCAGGAUACAUGGGCAUUCUAGCACGGAAUCCAAAUAUAUUGCCAAUUAACUUCGAGUCAUGGUGCAAAGUGCCCGAGAGUAACAAGAACCAAGCUCUCGAUAACAUUAAGGUAACAAAACGUGUAUGUCAUUUAUAAUACUUGGGUUUAAGUUUCGUUUACAUUUAGUUUCUAUAUAAAAACAAAACGUGUUUUUUGUAGGCGAGAUUUGCUCUAGAGGUCUCCGAUGCUUAUCUAAAGAAGGCAUUAGGAAAAAAGUGGAGAGACCAUAAGAGCACAUUAAAGAAAGAAUAUUUUAAGACAAAGACAACAGUCGAUAAGAAAUUAGAUAAUGUUCCACCGGGAAUGCUUAGGUACCAGUGGGAAGAGGUCGUUAGAUUUUGGACUUCGAAGAAAUGAGAGGUAUGUGUUACUACAAAAAUCUUGUAAUUAUUUUGGUUUAUAGUAUUUAAUAAUUAACGUACUAAUAAUUUGAUAACGUAGGAUCGUGAACGAGUUGGAACAAGUAAUAGGCAGAAACAAAAAUUCACGCACACAGCUGGGUCGAGAAGUUUUGCGUGUGUAGCUCAGGCUGAGGUAUUUUGGAUUUAUACGGUACUGGCAGAUAUUUAUUACUUUAUAUCAAAUAAUAUUUUUACUAUUGUAUUGCAGGAAGUGCUGUCGGGUCAAAAAAUUGGACGCCUUCAACUUUUUGACAUUACACAUAGGAAGAAAGAUGGAAACCCUUUGACUCCUGAAGCUGCAGAAAUUAUGGUACGUUCGCUUAAUACAAUUUGACUUGUUUUAAUUAUUUUUACUGUUCUAAUGGUUUAUUUCAUUUCUUCUAAUGAAAAUAUUGUUAAGGGAUAUUGCAUUUGUUUUUUUAAUAUAUUCCUUUCUUAACUAUGUCAUUUAAUUUUUAGGAAAAACUGAAGGACAAAAAGGCGGAGUACGAAGCGAUUGCUUCAAGUGAUAGUUCUGUUCAUAUCGACGGCAUUGAUAACCGGAUUAUCACUGAAGUUUUGGGUCCUGAAAGGUAUGGUCGGGUUCGAUGUCAACGAUCUUUUGUUAGCCCAUCCCAAUAUUUUGGAUCCAGCUCGCAACGAUACAUGCAUUCGGGGAGUCAGGCUCAAGCUGAAGUUCAAAGGUUAAGAGACCAGAUAGCUCAGAUGCAAGCGACAACAAGUGAACAAAUUACACAACUUAAAGCGGAGGCAACAUCGAGAGAAGCUGAGGUUCAAAAAAGAUAUGAAGAACUCCAGCUACAACUUAAAGCAGAUGCGGCAACGAGAGAAGCAGAGGCAGCAGCGAGAGAAGCUGAGGUUCAACGAAAGUAUGAAGAACUCCAGCGGCAGCUUAAAGCAGAUGCAGCAACGAGAGAAGCAGAGGCUGCAGUGAGGGAAUUAGAGGCUAAAACGAGGGAAGCAGAACAGCUUAAAAAGUUCGAUGAACUCCAACAGCAGCUUCAGAAUAUGAUGAAGAUGUUUCAGCAGUCGCAACCACCUUCGUCUUAGAUUAUCGUGUAAAUAUACUUCAAUUUGACUUUUACAAUUUUUGUAAGAAUAAUGUGAAUUUUAAUUUAUUUAUUGACAUUUAUUUUAAAUAUUAUAUAGAUGUAUUACUUUUGGCUGGAUUAGAUUUGGUUUAUUCUGAUUUUUUUUACAAGAGGGCUGAAAAUAUAAAAAAAAAAAUUCAAAUCUGCCAACAUUAGCGGCGUUUCCUGGAUAAGCGCCACUAAAAACACAGCCUAUUGUGGCGUUUUUUUUGCAUAAGCGCCGCGAAAGAUCCCCGUCUGUAGUGGCGUUUUUAGACUAAGCGCCGCAAAAGAACCCUAUCUAUCGUGGCGUUUCUUGCAUAAGCGCCGGAAAAGAACCUUAUCUAUCGUGGCGUUUCCUAUUGAAGCGCCGGAGAAGAACCCUAUCUAUAGUGGCGUUUCUUGUAUAAGCGCCGGAAAAGAACCCUCUCUCUAGUGGCGUUUGUUGUACAAGCGCCGCUAUAGAACCCAAGCUAUAGUGGCGUUUUUUUGUAUAAGCGCCGCUAUAGAUCACAUCUAUAGUGGCGUUUUGAGUAUAAUCGCCGGAAUAGACCCACCCUCUAUAGUUGCAUUUUUCGGAUAAGCGCCGCUAGAAAGGCCGAUCUAUAAUGGCGUUUUGUAUGUAAGCGCCGCUAAAGAGCCACAUCUAUAGUGGCGCGGCAAAAGAAACGCCGUAAUAGGUCUUCAUCUAUAGCGGCGUUUAUUAGAAGAAGCGCCGCUAUAGUUAGCGGCGCAGUCAUUAGCGGCAUUUUUUGCGGCGCUUAUAGAAGCGCCGCUAAAAGUAUUUGCGGCGCAAAGAAACGCCGCUAUAGCCCUAAAAAAGCGCCGCGAAAAGCCUGUUUUGCUGUAGUGAGUAAUACUAUUAUUAGUGAGGGAUAAAAGGCUGAUCUUAAGGUAUUUAACUGUAACCUUCUUAACUCGGCCCGUAUGUUAUGGCCGAAUUUUAAAGACUACAUUGGUCACUGAAAUAGCCUCAUAGAACCAAUUAGAUUUGAAAACGUUUUUUUACUAACUUUUAGAAAACUUAAUGCAACUGCCUUGGGAUUAUCAAAAUGCCAGAUUAUUAAGUCGAGUUAACUUAAGAGUCCAAUUUAAGAAGUGUUGUGACAUUUUGAGAUAAACUUAGUCGAUUUUUGUUUUGUUGAUUUGCCUUUUUAAAGUGAAACCAUCAGUCUUACCACUGUAUGUUUUUUAACAAAGAUUCAGGUCACCCAACUCUAACACAUAUAAAUAAAUUUUAUAAUUAUAAUUGUAAAAAUUUAUAUAACUUAUUAAUCAAAUAAAAAGUUAUAUAACAUAAUGAAAAUAAUUUUAAUUAAAUUUAUUUAAAAAUAUAAAAUUAAUUUAACAUUUUAUAAUUUUAUAAUACCACGUCAUUAGAACUAAUAUAUAUCCUCAAUAAAUUAAAAUUCACAUGUGAAAGAAGACAAUAUUAUAAACAAUUGAGCCAAUGUUUUUGGUUUCAAAAUCUUUUGUGGAAAAAUCCGCACUUCAAUGGUGAUGAGUAGCGAUUACAUACUACCUUUAAUUAAAGGAGGCAAAAGCUGAUCCGUGUAUUGAAUACUUUCCCAUUUGUUGCAACAUACUAAUACUAUAGAUAUAGAAAACAAAACGUGAUGAAUGAUGAAUGCUUUUCAACCUACUUUACUGGGAUUCCAUACUGUAUAUGUUUUUCUUUCUAUGCCAACAACAGUAGUCAAUGUGCCCUGCUUUAUUUGUGGACCUGCUGCUGUAUUUUCAUCUUAAAGUAAGAAUUAAGAGUUGUGUAAAAUGACUAACUUUACGUGUGGGGUUUUAUGAUGGGAAACCACUCAGAAACCUUCUUUCCAUAAUAAUCGGAAAACAUCCAAGCAAAGUGAUGAAUGCUUUUUCACUUGUUAGCCAACUUACAUUUUUUUUUUUAGCUUUUAGAGACAAACAAAACAUGAUUAACUGUUUGUUAGACUCGUCUGAUUAAACACGGUUUACGCCAUAUACCAUAUAUGAUAACAAAGAAAUUCUCCAAUUUGAUCCACUCUUGUGCUUUCUUUCUAUGUGAACAACAAUAGUUAAUAUAUUCAAUUUCAUGAAACUCCGAUAAAAUUACUGCAAAAGUUUAUCGAGAAUUAAAUUUUUUUAUAGCGAUUUUCAUACGGAAAAUUCUAAUUCAAGAGUUUGAGAAGUCAUUGCUGGGCUUUUGGCAGUUAAUAGGUUUUGAAUGAGCUUGUCUUAAGUUGAAAGAGAGGAGAAAUUGAGAUUUUUGGACUAAAUUGCAAAGUUGCUUCAUCUACCAUGGAUUAUUGGGCAAAACUAGUGAGAUAUUAAGGGUUCUAUUCCCGAUACAUGGAGAUAGUUCUUUCUUUCAUUUGGAUUAAGGGCUAAAUUACAAAUUUCUCCAAGAAUAGGAUCUUUCAAUAAACAAUCAACACAAGAAGGGAUUGAGCCACUUUAUUUAUUUUGGGAAAGCGAUGUGUACUCCAGUUCCAUCAGAUGACACAAAGCUAGAGGAAUACGACCAGUAAAACUAUUACUAGUGAGGGAUAGAAGGCUGAUGUUGUUCAAAAUUUAAUCUUGAAGGAUUCAACUAUAACCUUCCUAACUCGGUUCAGAUGUUAUGGUUUGGUUCCGUUGAACCAAUUAAAUUUGAAAACAUUCUUUUUAACUAACUUUUAGAAAGCUUAAUGUAACUGCCUUGGGAUUAUCAAAACGUCAUAUUAUUAAGUUAACUUAAGAGUCCAAUUUAAUAAGUGUUGUGACAUUUUGAGGUAAACUUAGUUGAUUUUUGUUUUGUUGAUUUACCUUUUUAUAAAUUUCCAAUUCCAUUAUUACGUAGUGGAAAAAGUGAAACCAUCAAUGUAUUUUCUUUAACAAAGAUUUGGGUUAUACAACUUUAACAAAUACAAAAAAAUUUAUAAUAAAAGAUAUAAAUAAAACUUAUAUAACUUAUUAAUCAAAUAAAAAGUUAUAUAUAUAUAUUUAUAUAUGUAGUCAAUUUUAUAAUAACUUAUUGAAAGUAUAUAUUAUUGGUAUGUUUCAUGUCUAUAUUACGAUCUAUGUUUGGAGUAUAUGACUACCUCUUCCAACAAUAUCGUCUUCAAGGUUUGAACACUACUCUCUCUUUCAAAUGUAAUAUACUUUACCACUACGCUCAACACUUAUUGAUAGCUUAUCAAAAAAUUUAUAUUUUUUUAUGAUGAAAACUAAUUUGAAAAUCCAUAAAACCAAUUAAUUUUCAUCAUAAAAAAUUAAAAUACAAUGUUAUUUAAAUCGAACUAUUUGGUUGAAUUAAAAAUAGGUCGAAAUUUCGAUUUAGAGGAAGGUAAAAAAAUCAGUUAACCUAUGAAUUGAACUAAAAAAAAGUUUAAUUGCUUGAAUUGUAUUUUAUAUUUAUCAAUAUUUUUAUUUUUAUAGUUUUUUAAUAAUUUAUUUAAUUUGCAGUUAACAUACUAAAAAUGGACGAUGUAAUUGAUUCGAUCACUUAUCCAUUCCAAGGUUAUGUAAUAUUCAACUUGAAUCGGAAGCUUUUUGAAAUUAUGUAUUAAGAUAUUCAGCUCCAAAUUGAUUUGAUUGGUUAGAGAGUUGUUGACAGAGCAGUAAUGGCGUCGGGGAAAAUGGCGAUAAAGGAUAUGUUGGAUUCUGUUAAUAUCUCGUGCUUUCUUUAUUUGUUCUCGCUCAAUAAAGGCUUACUAUUACUAUGAUGAGUUACUUACCUCUUCUUAUUUCAUCUUCAGAUAUCAGAAGAAGAAGAAGGUCCAGGAUGAAGAAGAGCAAAAGGAGGUCUUUUUUUAUUAACGAUUUCAUCGACAUAGCAAAAGGAAAAGAAAAACAUAUCCAGAACUUGUAUGAUAAAUACCUUCAAGCGAUCAAAUAACAUUGAGUGAAACAAGUAUGAAUUCUUGGGCAACCACAAGACUCCACCAGUGUGACAAACAGAGAAGCUAAAGGCUAUCAAUCUAAGAGAAAUUGUUUCAGGAGUGUUGGAAACUAGAAAGAUGAAUUUAAUGGAAAAGUUACACUGUUGGUUGUAACUGUCCUAGACGUUGAACAACUUGGAUUGGUCUCCCAUGAAUGGAUUAUGUCAUCUAUUUCAGAUUCUUCAUCACCAUGGGCUUCAAUAACAUUUCCACCAGAAGCGUUAAUCGACUCCAGCUCCAUUGCUACUUGUUUCAUGGUGGGUCUUUUCUUUCCAUUAAGAUUCAAGCAUCUUUUUGCUAGCAGAGCCACUACUAUAAUCUCCUUUUCUGGACCAUCCUUUACUACCAUUGGAUCGAGAAUGUUAAAUAAGGAAUUCUCCUGCAUUGACUGCAAAAAAUAAGAUACCAAGCUUCUCACUGACUCUGAUUGUUCCAGGGAGAUGGGUUUUUUUCCUGUUAAAAGCUCAAUAAGAACAACUCCAAAGCUAUAAACAUCACUCUUCUCUGUGAAUUGACUUGAUCGAAAAUAUUCUGGAUCCAUGUAUCCAAAAGUUCCUUGCACCCGAGUGGUUAGAUGUGUUUGUUCAAGUGCAACUGAUCUUGAAGUUCCAAAAUCUGACACUUUUGCCCUAUAUUUAUCAUCCAAAAGUAUGUUACUAGAUUUGAUGUCUCGAUGAUAAAUAGGAGCAGAAGCAGCUGAAUGCAAAUAGAACAAGGCAUUGGCAAUUUCAAUUGCAAUUCGUAAACGCAUUUUCCAUGUCAAUGGGAAUUCUUCAUUUUGGUUAUGAAUGAGAUCGUAUAAUGUACCAUUUGGGAUGAACUCAUACACCAAUAGAGGAGCUUCAGCCUCUAAACAACACCCUAAAAGCUUAACCACGUUCCUAUGAUUAAUUUGAGAUAAAAUUAUCACCUCGAUAAUGAACUGUUCAAC
Molecule: long non-coding RNA, 81313 nt
Filed under: Gossypium barbadense (sea-island cotton)
Lineage: Eukaryota; Viridiplantae; Streptophyta; Magnoliopsida; Malvales; Malvaceae
Description: long non-coding RNA (GBAR_LNC018979)
Source: RNAcentral